CUCUCCUUUAUCCCCUUUCCUUCACUUGGCACUGGCAAGCUCAGUGCGGAGAAGCUUGGCGGCGGCAACCAUGUUCUUUAGGGCUGGCAUCACUUCAGUGUACUUGCGGGUCUUGAGCCCACAGUCAGGGUUCACCCACAAGAUGUUGGUCUCAAGAACUGCAAGCAUCUUGUUGAUUCUGUCAGCAAUCUCUUCAGUUGAUGGUAUUCUGGGGGAGUGGAUGUCGUACACACCAGGGCCAAUUCCAGCACCAUACUUCACUCCCUCACGGAACACUGAAAGGAGCUUCUCAUCAGAUCGGGAGUUCUCAAUUGUGAUCACAUCAGCGUCCAUGUCAAUGAUGGAGUGGAUAAUGUCAUUGAAGUUAGAGUAGCACAUGUGGGUGUGGAUCUGUCAUAUUACCUAGGAUGAGCUCAGUGGCCAAAGUGAACAAGAAAUGGAAAAUGAAAGAAAAUUCAGUGAGGAAAGAACCUGGGUAGUGUCUUGAACACCACAGUUGGUGAUCCUGAAGGAGUGGACAGCCCAGUCCAAGUAGAAAGCAUGCUCAGACUUCCUAAGAGGCAAGCCCUCUCUCAAAGCAGCCUCAUCAAUUUGGAUGACGGUAAUGCCAGCCUUCUCGAGAUCCUCCACUUCGUCCUUGAUGGCCAAAGCAAUCUGAUAGCAGGUUUCAAAUCUGAAAAGAAGCCAUAUAAAUCAUGCAAACUAUUAUUAGUUUCAGAGAGAUAUACAUCUUUCUUAAGCCGCUUUUUAUGAGUUUUCUUAAUACCUGGGCUGGUCAUUUCGCACGAAGGACCAGUUCAGAAUAGUAACAGGGCCAGUAAGCAUUCCCUUCAUUGGGCGAGCAGUCAUGCUCUGAGCCAUGGUGGACCAGAAGACUGUCAUUGGCUUGGGUCGGCUCACAUCACCAUAGAUGAUUGGUGGCUUCACACAGCGAGAUCCAUAGGAUUGCACCCAUCCAUUGGCAGUGAAGGCAAAACCAGACAACUGCUCUCCAAAGUACUCGACCAUAUCGUUCCUCUAUAUUAAGAAACAUCCAAACAGUAGGCAGAAUUAGAACCAUUGUUCUUUCAACAGAAAAACAAGGAAUUUGAAUCUUAAAAACCCAUGCUAGAGCAUAGAGAAGAGCUCACACCUCAGGUUCACCAUGGACGAGCACAUCAAUAUCAAGUUCUUCCUGGAGCUUGACAACCUUGUUGAUUUCCUCUUUGAUGGCCUUAACAUAAUCCUCCUCAGAGAUCCUAAAAAGAGAAGGGUGUAAUGAGGGCAUAGAAUAAAGAAAUGUGACAAUCAAUUUCUAAGAGAGCAAAAUAAGAAGAAUUAUCAAAUAAGACUCACUUUUUAGCCUUGUAUUCACGGCGGACUCUCCUGAGAUCCAUGGUCUGAGGGAAAGACCCAAUGGUGGUGGUUGGCAGGACUGGAAGUUUCAGCUUCCUCUGCUGAGCAUCCAGUCUAGCACUCACAUCAGUAGCACGGCGGUGGUCAGAACCCUUCAAAGCAGAAGCCUGAGAGAGCAAGAACAGAAAGUUUUUGUUAAAUAAAACCAGUUUCUGCAAUGCAAUUGUUUGAAAGGCAUAAACAAUGAAAAUGAAUUCAUAAGAGUACUUACAGCCUUUUGGACAGCCUCAUUAGUCACUCUUGGGGAGGACUUCCUUGAAGCCUGAGCUGAGGCAUUGUCAGAGAAGAAUGCCUGAAAAUAACCAUAAUCAAUGAGUGAUGCAGUGUUCAUAUGAUCAAAAGGUAUAAACUUAAAUGUAAGUUUAGGGAAGCUAAGACUAAAACAGACUUGAGCAGCAAACAAAUGUUGAUGAAACUCCAAACCAACUCAGAUAAGCUAAACUGUUUCCCAAGUGAUUGAGUUUUAUCAUCUAAAUUUUCAAUACUGCAAUUACUCAGCCAAAUUUCUAACCCCACCACAACAGAGACUAGUUGUUCUAACAAUACCAUCAUUGACAUCCAUUGAAUAUUUAAAAAACCACAAUAAACUGUCAGUUUUUACAAUUAGAUAUUUAGAAGCAAUUAAAGAACGAGAACAAAGGAUACCUCCUCUUUGUGACCAGCCAAUGCCUUGGCCAAGGCAUUCACUUCAACAAUCUUCUGGGCAGCAAAUGCAAGCCAUGAUUUAAUUUCCUGGUCUAGCUUAGGCUCGUUAAUUAGAUCAACAGCAGUGUGGAGAAGAGAGCAGGAGGUGGAGACCACAAGUUUGUCUACACGACAACAAGAACAUCAGUUCUAGCACAAAUCAACUUGGAUAAAGGAAAUCAUUUACUUCCAUAUCACAAGUACAAUCACAAGAUAAUGUCAAAAAGAAUACCCUUGCCCACAAUGCUCUCAAGCUCCUGUAGGACGCUAAGAGAUGCAGCAAGAUCAUUAGCCCAAAUGUUCCUUCCAUCAACCACUCCAGCAAAAAGGUAUUUUCCUGUAGGGAAUCCAACCUUGAUCAAAUCAAGGGUCUUGGUUCCGCGAACCAAAUCGAACCCAAAGCCAGUAACACCCUUCAAGGAAGUGAGGGUCUUGAAUGCUUCAGAAGGAACAUCAGCAAAGUAUGUCUCAACAAUAACAUUCAAGCCAGAGCAAGAUGCUUCUAGCUCAGAGUAGGCAUGAGUGAAUGCUUGCAACUUGUGAGAGUCAAGAUCCAUCACAAGGGUGGGUUCAUCAAACUGAAUUGAAGAAGCACCAGCAGCCUUUAGCUCAGCAACUACUUCCCUGCAGAGGUGUUCUUAGAAAUGUUAGGUGCAUAUAUUGGGAAUCAACCACAGAUACCCAAGAGAAGUUCAAUUCCUUACUUGUAGAUUGGAAGGAUUUUGUCCAGGAGGGAGAGAAGAGAAAAGGAUUUCUCAACACCCUUUGCAGGUUUAGAUAGCAACAAGUAGGAGACAGGACCAACAAAAACCGGAACUGUGUCUACUCCAAGCUGCAUGGGAGAAAAAGAGAUAUUACAAAAUGCUAAAAACAUCACUGCUAUGUUUGAUUCCAAGAAAAAGUACAAAGAAAGAAUAAAAAUAUGAUAAACAAAAUUAUUUUCUCGUGUUUAGGAUUACCAUGAAAGAUACGAAAGAAAUAAAAGAUAAUUAAAAUUAACUAAUCAAAUAUAAUUAAAAUUAAUUAAAACUUUGGCAUUUUCAAAUUAUUUAAUUUUUAUGUAUAAUAAAAUAUUUAAAUCCAUUUUUUAUUUUCCUUCUAUUUUCUCCGCCUCGCAUUUUCCUCAAAUUUUCCAACAAACAAACUAUUUUACAGGUGUACAGCACAAUCAAAUUAAUAAAUAGAUUAUGGGUCCACAGUACACCCAAGUGAAACACCCUCCCCACCAACACACAACAAUCUCAGACAGUACCAACCAUAAAUCCAAAAUCCUAGAGGAGGAAUCAAGGAGUUAUCAAAUUGCCAACAUGGAACAUAUCCUGACCAAACAAUAAACCAGGGCAGAUGGGCCCAAGAUGUAGAUUUCCAUGUUGUUAGAAAUUAUCUGAAAAUCGAGCCAUUUUUUGGAAGUAUGUCAAAAUGUGAUGAACUACCCCAAUUCAACCUCUACCAUGCAAAAUUACCAGUGUAUGUAUGCCUAAAAACCUUAACAAUUCAAAAAUUCAACCGAAAUGGAAAAUUGAUUAAGAGCACAUACCGCCUUAGCCUCCUGGUAUUCUUUCACUGCCUUGUGAGAGGCAUAGCUAAACUUCACCUCCGGACCCAACUCAGGGACAAUGUAAUGGCUGGAUCCACAGAUCACCCACAAUUCAGUGUCUAUCAAUAUCACUAUUUCAAGCCAGAAAUGAGGAGAGGAGAGGAUCACCACUUACUAGUUUGUGUCGAACCACUUGGUCAUUUCCAUAGCGGGAACGGAGGCAUUUCCUCUGGCCAUGGAGAAGUAGACAUCGAAUUCAAUCUCGCCACCAUUCCAUCCAUAUCUGGGGGGAACGGCGCCGAGCAUGGCUGUGGUGUCGAGCACCUGAUCGUAGUAUGAGAAGGUGUUGCUGGGAAUGUACUUGGUCCCGGCAUCAGCCAUCUGCUUCCAGAUGGACGCCCUCAGAUCGGCCGCAACCUUUUGCAAAUCCUCGGCGCUGCUCUUUUUAUCCCAAAAUGAUUCCAAAGCAAAUUUGAGCUCUCUCUUGGGCCCCAUGCGAGGAUAUCCAACAAUGUGGGACGCCAUUGUGCUGUUUCAUCACAAAUUCGUCACACAUUCCUUCAUUCAGAUUUCAAUUUCUUUGCAACUUUUCAAAUAAGUUACCAUCAAAUCAAACAACAAAAAUUCAAAUAGAUCCAAUGAAAAAAAUAAGAAUUGAAUUCGAACCCAUUUCUUUAUUUUAUUUUUUUCAUACAAUAAAGGAUGAAAAAGAAACCAGUCGAAUCAAACCUACGAUAUAAAAUCAAUUAUUAGAUUUGAAAAUUGAAAUCCUUUUAGAGAUCCAACCCACCCGACAAAGAAAAAACAAUAAAUAGCUAGAAAACAGGACUAGGGUUGCGUAUAAAAACUCCGAUCCACACUCGAAAGUACAGAAACAGGCCAUGCACGUUUGCUUCAAAGGAAAAUAGCUACCCAAAAAGUUUUGGAUUUUUCAGAUUCGUUACUAAACAGAGAUAUUCACACACGUUUUAUUUCGACUGAUACCCAAGACGGGAUUGAGAAGAAAACACACCAAAAUCAGCCUCAAACAACGAAAACGAAGCAAACCCAGAUCAGAUCUAGUAAAAAUGCAAAGUCCCACACCCAGAUCUACAAAACCCAGAAGCAGAUCUGUACUUCAGUAGUGUACAAGAAAUGAAAGAAGGACACAAAAUGGACACAGCCCACACUAUAUCUCUCACACCAAAACAACUCAAACAUAAAGGCUUAUAGUAGUAAGGUGGAUGAAGACCCACAAAGAAGGGUUUAAUGUGGAGAAGCGUACCUAAAGGAGAUAGAAGCGGUGAGAAAUUGGAACCAGUGGGAUGGAGAAAGGGGCUGAGAUUGAGAAUGGAACGGCGCGAGUUGUGAGGGUGGGUAUUGGUAGUUAUUUAUAGAAAGAGGUAUGCGGUAGAUCUGACUCUCCGCUUAAAUUUUUCUUUUCCCUGUGGAAUUCGGUGUUGCUAAUUUUUCUUUUUCCUGUGUCUUCGGUGGUGCUAGUCUCUGCACACGCUCUCCCUCUGCGCGUGAAUUCAGUGAAACUCUUACCCACUCCCGCAACUAUUAUUCCCUUUUUGGCUAUUUACUUAAAACCACCUCAAAAACCCAAUUUUAGAAAUCUAACCCUCCGUCAUUUUUCAACCCUCAAUAUAAAUAUUUGAAAUAAUAGAUGUCAUUUAUAUCAAAAAUAAAUUACUCUAAAAAAAUAGAAGAAGUUAAAAUCGCAAAUAUAUGGAUUAUUUGGUCCCUUUUAAUCAAUUAAUUUUUGUUUUAUUAAGACUAUUACCCAUUCCUUUUGAGUCAUUUUAUUUCCUUUUUUUAAAUACUAAGAUGAUAUUUGUCUUUUUCACUUAAAUUUAAAUAAAAAAUUAAUUUAAUUUUAAAUAUAAUUUAAUUUAAUUAUUAAUUUUUUAUUAUUUUAUUUUUAUUAAGUGUCAAAUAUUAAUAGAUUGAACAUCAUAUUAAGAUUUAGUGAAUGUUUGGUAAAUCACCUUAAUAAUUUAAAAUGACUUAAAUUCAAAAAUAAUUUUAAGAUUUAAUGAAUGUUUGGUAAAUCACCUUAAGUUAUUGAGUAAAUUAAAUAUGUUUAAUAAAAUAACUUAAUGAUAUGACUUAAAUUUAAAAAUAAUUUUAAGUAAUAAAUAAAAAUAAUUAAUUUAUUUUUAAGUCCAUAUCUUAAUUUUAUUUUAUUUUUAUCCUCAUUUGCUCUAAUUACUUUCACGAUCUCUUUUACCACUUCGUAACUUCCAUUGUUAUUCGACUUUAUUUAUCUUAAUUAUAAUUUAUAAGGAUAAAUAUAUUAAUUUGAUGAUUUAAAAUAAAUUUUAAGUUAAUUUUAUCAAACAUCCUUAAUAGUUAAAGUAAGAAUUAAGUAAUAAAUUUUAAAUUAAUAAUUUAAUUUAAAGUCAACUUAAGUUAUUAAGUAAUAAGUAUUAAAUUUUAUCCAAAACCCCCUAAUUUUGAUUAAUUCAAAAAGUUAUUUUUAGUAUUCAACAAAAAGUUAAUAUUUUAACUUUUUCUAUUCUAUAAAAUAAUUUAAAGAAUAAGUAACAAGAAAAAAGUUAAAAAUAAAUUAUUUGAAGUCUUAAAAUAAAUUUCAUUUAGAAUUAAAUUAAAAAAAAAACACCAUCUAACUCUUAUUGAAAAUAUGAAUUUUAUUUUUUUUAAAUAUUUAUACAAUCAAUUUGAAAACAUUUUUUAAAUGACCGCUUUCUUAUUUUAUUUUAUUUUUAAAAUUUUGAAAUAAGAUUUUAAAAGUAGAAGACAAAUUUAUGCUUUUUAUGUAAAAAUAUACGUAAAUAAACGGAUGUAAAACAUGAAAUAACACAUUCCAUUUUGGGAUAAUAGAUUAAAAAGGACAAAAGAACAUCAAAUUACAAAUCUAACCUUCUAUUUUUUUUUUUUACCCAAAAAAUUAUCCAUUUUACACCAGAAUACUCUCACUUUUUCUUGCAAAUUUAAAACACAUAGGUAAAUAACGAAUAUGUCAAAAAUAGAUUAUUUUUCAAGUUUCGCUGGUUUUACAAAUUUAGGAGUUUUUCAUCAUUUUUUAUCGAUUAAUCCUUUCCUUUUUUUUCCUUUAUUUUAAAAUAAUGUCAUUUUUUUCAUAAAUAUUCUAUAUAUGAAGAUUUUUAAUGAUGGAAAUUUUUUAAAAUAAGUCAAAAAAAUGAGGGCAUGUUAGGAAAUACAAAAUUUAUUUUAUAUAUAUAAUUUCUUAUUGAUAUUUUUUAUAUUAAAAAUAAUUAAAAAAAAUGUCUUUAUUGUAAAAAAGGUAUUAAUUUAUUUAUAUUAUUUUUUUAAUUAUUUAACCUUUUAUAAUUAAUUUUUAUUUUGAUAACAUAUAAACUUAUAUAUGAUAUGUUUAGGGAUAAUUUCACUCAACUCUUUCUAGAUUUUAAUUAAAUACAACUAGCUCCCUUUGUUUAAAAAUUUAUCAAAUAUUUCCCUUAUUUUGAAUUAAAGGGGAGGUAAAUGAAAAUAAUAUGGAAGACAUGUGAUAAAAUUUCAAACAUAUGGGGUCUAAAUGUAUUUAGGCAAAAUCUAAGGGGAGGUAAAUGAAAUUAACCCUAUAUGUUUAUGAUGUUAGGUUUAUGUAAUUUUUCUAGUUUAAUAAUAGGUAGAUAUUUGAAAAAAUUAACUUCUUAUUAUGUAAUUUUUUAAGCGUUACAAAAAUUAGAAAUACUUCUUAAAAUCACUAUCAAAACGUAUUAGAGUGUCUUCGGAGUGUUUAUACUCAAAAUAUUGUUAAUAACAUUUCCUAAACUUACCAUCAAAUGCAUUCUUUACGGUGUUUUUACUCAAAAAGUAUUUUUAGUGAAAACGUUUUCUCAUAAAAUAUUUUUAAAAGAAUCACUUAUUAAGUGUUUCAAAAAAAAAAAUACUACAAAUAAUUUUUCAAAAAUUUUAAAAAUAUUUCUUAAUUUUUGUCAAACACCUAAUGUUUUUUCAAAAAUAUAUUUUUGGUAAAAUAAAAUAAAAUAAAAAUGAAUAAAUAAAUAAAUAAAACUUCUUCAAAUCAUUAUCUUGUUUCUGGGUAAACACUUGAUAAAUUAUUCUCCUAAAAACACUUAUAGAUAAAAUAUUUUCCUAAAAACACUUCAAAUAGAAAUAUUGUACACAAUCUUAUUCCCUUUCUUCUUUUCUUUAAUAUUCUUUUCCCACAUUUAUUUUAUGGCAUUCAAACACACAACCAACAUUUUUUAAAAACAUUCUCUUCCAUUUUCUUGUCACUUUGUUCAGCGGCCUCACUACAUUUUGUUAUUAAUUUCCAUGAACUAAAGUUCUCUAUGAUAACUAUUUUCAAAAACCAUUUUAAAAAGUAGUUUUUAAGAAUAGUUUUUAAGAAUUAUUUUAUAAUGUUUUAUAUAAUAAAAUUAUGUUUGAAAAUUUAAAAUAUUUUUAACCAGAUUUAAAUAUUUUUAAAUAUGUUUUAAAAAUAAUUUUUAUGUAUAAUAUUUUAUUUUUAAUCAUUCUAUAUAUUUGUAUAUUAUUAUUUAAAAUUUCCCUAAAAAAAUAAAUAAAUAAAAACUAAAAGAUGUUUUUUGAAAAUACCUUAUUCUAUGUUCUUAAAAAUGAAAAUAGAAAAUAAUUUUUAAUUGUUAAACGUGUUUUUCUAUUUUAUUUUUUUUUACAAAAAAUAGAAACAGUUACCCAACAACAGGUUCUAAAUAUAACUUGAGUUAUUCUUAAACCAAUUUAAUAGAUUUUUUAAUAUAUAUAUAUAUAUAUAUAUAUAUACAAACCCUUUUUGAGACAGCAAACCACUUCAAAUUGGACAUAAAUUUUAUAAAUUCUUUUGCCUAGGCAACAUUACUUCUUUUAAAUCCUAUCAAAUUGUAUCUAAUUUUGUUAUGGUAACAAAAUCAAUACCAUAUCAAAUUAUUUUUAUUUUUUCAAUAAUUUAGGAUUUAUUUUUUUAAAAAAAAAUAUCCCUAAAUACAAAUAUGCAAAAGUAACAACAACAAAAACAAUUAAUUAUUAAAGACCAUAACUACUUAUAGUUUUUGUGGCAUUAUUAUCCCUACUUAAAUAUAAUGUCUGUCUAAAAAUUCACAAAUCUUUGAAAACAUUUUUUUUUAAUUUAUUCCUUAAAUUAUGACCACAUAAGAAUGAGAAUAAAUUCAUUUUAAAACACGAGUACACACUAGAUUUGCCAUUAAAAAUAGUCAUGACUCCAUAGAUUUAUUAAAACUAGUAUCAAAACCAAUCAUCGAUCUUAACUUGGGAGUUUGUUUAGUUUAAGUACUCCAUAUGAGCAUAUCCUACCUUGGAUAGGGGAAAAAAAAUUUCAUGAUGAGUUUUUUCUUCUUAAUAGUCUAAAACCAUUUUAAAGUUUAGGGAACAAUAUAAAAAAAGUUUUUAAAAUAAAAAAUAUUAUUAUUGAAAAAUCCAUGCUUAUAAUUUAAGAAAAAACUUCAAAUUUUUUUAUUUGAAUUACUUAAAAAUUAUUUUAAAAUCCUUCACCUUUAUUUUAAAAAGUGUUUAUUUUAUUAUUUUUAUUUAAUUAAGUUUUCUUUUUUUUUUUGCCUCAAAAAUUGAACAAAAUGAGACCAAUUUAUUAUUUAUUUUGAUUUGGCGCGUAUUCACACGCGCCUGCGAGGUGUAUGGAAGUAACUGGAUUGGUUAAAAAUAUAGAUGAAUUGGAAGGUAAAUACGCAGGUUUUACUGAAGUGAAAUUACAAAAAUAACCGAGGGAGUUGGUGGGUGAAGUUCGGUGGUGCUGUCACUAUUCUUGGGAAGUUACAUUUUGAAGCACGCGUUACUAGUGAAAUUACAAAAUACCCAUUGGAUUGCGGUUGGUGAGAUUAAAAUUCCAAAAGUAGCCUUGAAUUGGUGCAACCUGUAAGAUUUGUUGGUGAGUAGGUAAGUGGGCCAUAACUUGCAUACAAUGACAUGCACACAUUUUUUUUUGUGAUAAAUGACGAUAAUACCCGCGUUACUCAUUUUAUUUAAGGAAGGAAAGAUCUAGGUCGCACAAGCAAGACUUAUAGUACUAAGUUCAAAUCUUCGCCGUCAAUAUGAUGAAAUGUUAAGCACGCAAUGAUGAUAUAAAUAAAAGAAAUAAAGGUAUAAGAUUAAUGAAGAAAUUAAUGACAUCAUAUACAAUAUAUAUAUAUAUUUUAAAUUGAUACUAUUCACCAACACGACAAGAAACCAACACAUGCGAGGUUUAAGUUGAAUAUAAGCAGGUUUUGGUCAAAUUCGUGUUGAUUUGUAUAACUCAUUUAAUAAAUAAGUGAUUUUUGGGUCAAUCUGUUUAAAAAGAAUUUGCUCCGAAUUGAUAUAUGCAAUAAUUUUGUUAUUAACUUAAUUAUAUUUUAAAAAUAUUUAACUUAUAUUGAAUUUAUUUUAAAUAACUAAAUCCAUUAAGUCAUAAACAUAUUUAGUUGAAACAUCAAUCACAUAAAUUUAAUAAUUAGAUAGUAUUUGGAUUUUAUAUUUUUGACAUUAUUAUUAUUUGUGUUGGGUUUGGGUUGAGUUAUAUAGUGAAAUACUUAGGCUACGUUUGAUUGGUAGGAUAUCAUGGGAUUGGAUAUGUAUAUCUUAAGAUAUUAUAUCUCAUUGGAUAAGAUAUCCUAUUAUUUGUCUCAGGUUUUGGUUGAGUUAUGUAAUAAAAUACUUAGGUUAUGUUUGAUUGAUAAGAUAUUAUAUGAUUGGAUAUAUCCUAAAAUAUCAUAUCUCAUUGAAUAAGAUACUUAUAUGUAUAGAAUAGGCAUAUCCAUUGGAUGUGAUACACAUAUUUCACUAGAUAUGAUAUGAUUUCGAAUCAAAUAUGAUAGAUAUGAUAUUUUUGUUGGAAUAUGUGCCCAUAAACAAAUGAGAUGUUUUUUAUUUUGCUGAUUAUUAAUAUUUUUUUAAGGAAUUAUUUCAAUAUUAUUGUUGCAUGCAUGUUAUAGAUGCUUUAUAAAUAUCGAAAACCCUAGAUUAUUUAAUUGAAACUUUAAAUAUUGUAUAUAAGUGUUAUAUACAAGAGGAUAAUAUUUAAAGUAAAAUAAUCUAAUAUGUUCGUAAUUAAAAAUUAAAGUUGGGAUCUUUAAUUUAAAAUUACUAGCGCGGUUCAUUACAUUCUGAAUGAAAUGAUCUUAUCCGGAUUGUUAAUAAUGAGAUUAUUGGAAUGAAAGCGCUUUAUAUAAUUUGAUUAUAUAGGACUGGAACACGAUUAAUUAUGAAUCUCUGAUAAAUUCCGUUAUAAUAUAGAGCAUUCAAUAUUAAUCAAUGAUGGUCAUAUAUGCAUUGAUCUUAAUUCUGAGUGAUUAAUAGACUCCUAUUUAUUCUAUUGUAUUUUUUGACAUACCGGGUAAUGACACAAAUACAUAGUGUCAAAUUCUUGGUGUAUUGGAAGUAUAAUAAAAUAAAUAGCCGGGAAUAUUAAUAUACAAGAUGAAAUCCAUUCCUUCGUUAAGAAGUCAGAUGGACGGUUCCCAUAAGUAUUGGUUCGGGCCUUGAAUGAUAAGAGCGCUCAAUUUAUGAUUAGACCAUAAAUAUAUUAUUCAUUAGAGAACCAAUGGUACUUAAGGAGAAAGAUAUAAUUAAAGAGGUUAACGGAAAAACCUAGCUUUAAUUAUGAACCGUUUAUGGAGGACUGACUCAUAUGUAGUAACUAUAUCAAUGGGCAAUUCAAAUCCUUUGAAUAUAUUUAAUUUUAUAAUUUUAAGAGUGCAAUUCCAAAUUUUUAGUGGAGUAAUUUUGGAAUUAAUAAUUUUGAUUUUUUAAUUAAGUUGUUAAUUAAUUGUCAAAAUUAUUGGAGCUUAAAAUUAUAAUGUCCAUAGUUCCUCUCAACGGCUCCAUUAAAAUUAUAUGAACAUUUUUUUAUGUUGGGUUGAUUUUAUUAGUUUGGAAUUUUAAAUUCUAAAUUAAUUUCACACAAUCUUGAUUUGAUUUAUUUAUUUUAUAAUUUGAUUAUUUAAAAUAUUUUUUGAUACAAUGUGGUGAAGACCACGCUUACUUGUAUUCCCUAAGAAACACCUUUUGAGUGGGGAUCAUGGGGAGAGAUAUUCUCUCCCAUGUUUUUCAAAAUUCAAAGAAACACUUUUUAAGUGGGGAUCAUAGGGAGAGAUAUUCUCUCCCAUGUUUUUCAAAAUUCAAAACAUGUCAGUUAUUUUUUUUCUUCGUGGUAUUAAAAUUUUUUUUUCUCAAUGUUUGUCGGAUGAUGGGAUGAGAAUACAAGUUUUCAAUAUAUAUUAAGUUGUGUGAGAAAAACCCAAGAAUGAAAAACACCCACUCGUUUUGAGUUCAUCAUAAUUUGGAGAACGUUAGAGAAAGAUCCAUGGUGCUUUAGAGGAUUUGGAAUUCUAAGAUCCUUUUGGUGAAGUUCAAAUUUAUCAGCCUAAUCGCAAGGUACAAUUCUAAUUUACCUAUAUUUGUUAUUUCAUUAAAUUAAUACAAGUAUUGAUCAUUGAGAAAAAAAUUUUGAGAAAAUUUUUUUGGCUUCCGUUUUUUCUUUUAUUUAUCUGGUUUCAAAACCAACAAUUUUAAGGUAGUAUAUCCAAUGAGAUACACUAUAUUAUAAUUUAUUAUAUUUAAUUUGUAAAAUAUAUAUAUAUAUAUAUAUAUAUAUAUAUAUAUAUAUAUAUAUAUAUAUCACAUUAAAUUAUUUUUUAUUUAAAAAAUGAAAAAUUUUGUUAUGUUUAACCAUAUUCAUGAUUAAAAUAUUUAAAUUUUAUAAAUAAUUUUUUUUAUAUUACGCUAUUUAAUAUAUAAAAAUAAUUUAUAUAUCAUAUAUUAAUAUUAUUUUAUAAAUAUUUAAGGAAGGAAAGAUCUAGGCCACACAAGUAGGACUUAUAAUACCAAGUUCAAAUCUCCACCGUCCAAGUGUAUGAUGAAAUGUUAAGUGGGAUGAUAUAAAUAAAAGAAAUAAAAAUAUAAGAUUAAUGAAGAAAUUAGUGACAUCAUAUAUAUAUAUAUAUAUAUAUAUAUAUAUAUAUAUAUAUAUAUAUAUAUAUAUAUAUAUAUAUAUAUAUAUAUAUAUAUAUAUAUAUAUAUAUAUAUAUAUAUAUAUAUAUAUAUAUAUAUAUAUAUAUAUAUAUAUAUAUAUAUAUAUAUAUAUAUAUAUAUAUAUAUAUAUNNNNNNNNNNNNNNNNNNNNNNNNNNNNNNNNNNNNNNNNNNNNNNNNNNNNNNNNNNNNNNNNNNNNNNNNNNNNNNNNNNNNNNNNNNNNNNNNNNNNUAUAUAUAUAUAUAUAUAUAUAUAUAUAUAUAUAUAUAUAUAUAUAUCACAUUAAAUUAUUUUUUUAUUUAAAAAAUGAAAAAUUUUGUUAUGUUUAACCAUAUUCAUGAUUAAAAUAUUUAAAUUUUAUAAAUAAUUUUUUUUAUAUUACGCUAUUUAAUAUAUAAAAAUAAUUUAUAUAUCAUAUAUUAAUAUUAUUUUAUAAAUAUUUAAGGAAGGAAAGAUCUAGGCCACACAAGUAGGACUUAUAAUACCAAGUUCAAAUCUCCACCGUCCAAGUGUAUGAUGAAAUGUUAAGUGGGAUGAUAUAAAUAAAAGAAAUAAAAAUAUAAGAUUAAUGAAGAAAUUAGUGACAUCAUAUAUAUAUAUAUAUAUAUAUAUAUAUAUAUAUAUAUAUAUAUAUAUAUAUAUAUAUAUAUAUAUAUAUAUAUAUAUUGAUACUAUUCACCAACACCACAAAAGGCCAACACGCUCAGGUUUAGGUUGAACAUAAGUUGGAUUUAUUUGUUUAACACAAAUUUGAUCUAAAUUAAGCCAAUGUAAUAAUUUCAUUAUUAACUUAAUUAUAUAUUUAAAAUAUUUAACUCAUAUUAGACUCGUUUUAAAUUUGUUUUUAAAUAAAUAGAUCAAUUAAAUCAUAAACAUGUUUGGUUGAGAUAUUAAUCAUAUAGAUAUAUACAAAAACUAACUCAACCUCAUUAUUAAAUAAAAAGAUUUGAUUAUUAAAUGAGUUAUACAACGUUUGAUACUACUAUUAUUCGUAUCGGGUUUGAAUUGAGUUAUAUAAUAGAAUACUUAGACUUUUAUAUGACACAAACACGAUUGACCACUACGAAUUGUCACCCUUGCUUGGAGAUGAAUUUGAGAUUUUCUUUAAACUCGAGACAAAUUUAGGUAUUAUCUUGUCAUGUCCUUAUUAUAUAUAUAAUUAACUUAAAAAUAGUUCAUUUUAAUUUUUUAUUUUUCUCUUUCUAAGGCAAAUAAAAUAAUUAAAAAUAUGCUUCUUAAAAAAUGAAUUAUAAAAAAUUAUGAUAUUUAUCUAUUUAUAAACAUAUUUAUUUGAUGUCAUUCAUUUUAAAUAAUAUUACAUAUUUUGAAUAAUUCUAUAAGCAUAUUUAACUUUCCAUAAAAUUGAAUUUAUGGAACAAAUUGUAAAGAAAUGAAUCGUUUUCUUUGUUUUUAGAUCUAAAUUUUCAUGGCUAUUUCCCAAAGGGACUCAUGUUGUAAGGAGAUAGGUGAUGGAUUUUUUUUAUUUUAUUAUAUAACAAAUAUAUUAUUAUUAUUAUUAUUAUUAUAUAAUUGAAUCUUCCAUUGCCCCUAAAUGUACAAAAUAACCCAUGUGAUCGAAAUUAUAUAUUAUUAAAUGAAGAUACAAAUAAAUAAGACAAAAAUAUAGUGACAUUGAAUAAUUAAAUCAAAUAAAAAAAUAUUAAGUAAUAAAACAAAAUACUUAUUGAUGAUACUUUUUUAUAGGUAUCAAAAAAUAUGUUUCAUAUCAUAAUUAGGUCAAAUAUAUGAUAUAAUAAAUGAGCUUUUUUCUAUGUAAAUAUUUUAAAAUAUAAAUGUGGACCCCGCAUUUCGGCUCAAUGCGUUUCCCACUCGAUGGCGAACUCGAUUUUUAUUUGAAAAUGAUUUUAUUUAUUAAAAAGAGUUGACUUGGAGUCGCCACUUAUUUUUGUUUUAUUUUUAAAAGGGUAAACAAAAUAAGAAAGAAAAACCCUAAGUGUGACUCCUUACUUUGGAAAAGGUGGUCUGUGAAAAACCGGAUCGGGUUCGGGGGUCAGGUUACUUAUCGGGAAGGUACGGUAAAGACCGUAGCACCCCUCUAAGUCCCUAAAGUCGGGUCUCUACUAAUAAAAUGAAGCAAUCAAUGGCAAUUGUCGAGGGAAUCAAUGAAUACUCAGAGUGAUCAUGCACACGUGAGAAUCUAAACAUGCAUACAGAAACUGACUAGGGUGGAUGUGGAUGCGUACCUGGGCAGUGAUCCAUAAAGCGCUAUCAAGAAGUGAGAUUAGCGCACCAUUAAGGAAUAAUUUUGAGCAUGUCAUAGAGCGAAAUAAAACCGAUCAUGCAUGGCAAUUAAAUCAAACAAACAAUCAAUCAAUCAUAAGGAAAUCACAUAUGCUAGGCCCCCACCAAAAACCGAUUUAUAUUGCAUGAAUUAAUCUCACGAAUCCCAUUAUUUCGGAAUUAUGAAGAUUCAUCAUUCUUGCUUGUGUAAAAAUCAAAAGAAAUAGAACAUUAUUUAAAAAUCGGGGUGAAAUUAAAACUAUUCGAGAGAGAACUGGGUUUUUGAGAUUUAUUUGGAAAUUAGAGUCUCGAAAAUUAUUUUAAGAUUAGAGUCUUGAAAAAUUAAAUUUAAGAAUUGGUAUUUUGGAUAUUAAAUUUGAAAGAAAUUAAAAUUUUGGAAAUUGGAAAUUAAGUUUAGAAAUUGGAAUUUUGAAGGAUGCUUAAAAUGGAAUUUCGAAAUAAAGGGCUAAAGUAAUAAUAAUUGAAUAGAUUAAUGUGAGUUUUGGAAUUUUGGAAUUAGAAAUUAAAUUGGGAGUUGGAAAUUUUAAUGAAUUGUUUAAAAUGAACUUUUAGAAUAAAUAAAUAAAAUAAUAAUAAUUAAAUAGAUUAAUGUGAAUGUUGGAAUUUUGGAAUUAGCGGAAACGGAAAUUUUAAUGAAUUGUUUAAAAAUGGAAUUUUAGAAUAAAUAAAUAAAUAAAUAAUAAUUAAAUAAAUUAAUGUGAAUAUUGGAAUUUUUGGAAUUAGAAAUUAAAAUCGGGAAUGGAAAAUUUAACCGAAUUGUUUAAUAAUAAUAAUUAAAUAAAUUAAUGUGAAUAUUGGAAUUUUCAGAAAUAGAAAUUUAAUUCGGAAGUCGAAAGUUUUAAAUGAACUGUUUAAAAUAGAAUAAAUAAAUAAAAUAAGAUAAUUAAAUAGAUUAAUGUGAAUAUCGGAAUUUUUGGGUUUGGGAAUUUAAUUCGGAAAUCAACGGUUUUAAAGAAUUUGAUUUAAAAUGGAGUUUUGAAAUAAAUGAAUAAAUAAAAUACUAAUGAUCAAAUAAUUUAGUGGGAAUAUGAGAAUUUUUGGGAUUGGGAAUUUAAUUCGGAAAUCAGAAGUUUUAAAGAAUUGAUUUAAAUUGGAAUUUUAGAAUAAAUAAAUAAGAUAAUAAUAAUUAAAUAGAUUAAAGUGAGUAUGAGAAUUUUCGGAAAUCGAAAUUGAGUUUUAAAGAUCGGAAUUUUGGAGUAUCAUUUGAAGGUUGAAUUUUUAUAAAUUGGGCUCGGAAAUUGAAAGUUAGAAAGUUUGAAUUAAUAAUAACAAUAAGGUUUUGAAAGUUUUAAUCAAUGAUAAUGAUAAAAAUAAGAUUUUGAAAGUGGAGGUAAUAAUAACAAUAAUGAUGAGAUUUUUGAAAGCUCGGAUUAAUGAUGAUAAUAAUAAUAAUAAAUAGAUUUUGAAAAUUGAGUUAAUAAUAAUAAUGAGAUUUUUGGAAGUUUGGAUUAAUGAUGAUAAUAAUAAUAACAAAUAGAUUUUGAAAAUUGAGUUAAUAAUAAUAAUGAGAUUUUUGGAAGUUUGGAUUAAUGAUGAUAAUAAUAAUAACAAAUAGAUUUUGAAAAUUGAGUUAAUAAUAAUAAUAAUAAUGAGAUUUUUGGAAGUUUGGAUUAAUGAUGAUAAUAAUAAUAAUAAAUAGAUUUCUGAAAAUUGAGUUGAUAAUGACAAUAAUAAUGAGAUUUUUGAAAGUUUGGAUUAAUGAUAAUAAAUGGACUUUAAGAAUUGAGUUAAUAAUAAUAAUAAUAAUGAGAUUUUUGAAAGUUUGGAUUAAUGCUGAUAAUAAUGAUAAAUAGAUUUUGAGAAUUGAAUUAAUGCUGAUAAUAAUGAUAAAUAGAUUUUGAAAGUUGAGUUAAUAAUAAUAAUAAUAAUGGGAUGUUUGAAAGUUUGGAUUAAUGAUAAUAAAUGGACUUUGAGAAUUGAGUUAAUAAUAAUAACAAUAAUGAGAUUUUUGGAAGUUUGGAUUAAUGAUAAUAAUAAUAAUAAUGAAUAGAUUUUGAGAAUUUGAGGUAAUAAUAAUAAUAAUAAUGAGAAUGAUAAUUAAUAAUGAUAAUAAUAACAAUGAUUAAUAAUAAUAAUAAUAAUAAUUAUUAAUAAUAAUAAUAAAAAUGAUUAAUAAUAAUAAUAAUAACAAUGAUGAUAAUAAUUAAUAAUAAUAAUAAUAAUAACAAUGAUUAAUAAUAAUUAACAAUAAUAAUAAUAACAAUGAUAAUAAUAAUUAAUAACAACAAUGAUAAUAAUAAUUAAUAAUAAUAAUAAUAACAAUGAUUAAUAAUAAUUAAUAAUAGCAAUGAUAAUAAUAAUUAAUAACAACAAUGAUAAUAAUAAUUAAUAAUAAUAAUAAUAACAAUGAUAACAUGCAUCCAAGCCCAAAACCCAUAAGCUGGAUCCACUAACAGGCCCCAUCUCCAACAAGCCCAGUCCACAAGCCUAAGUCCCAUAAGCCUAAGUCCCAUAAGCCUAAGCCCACAAGCCUAAGCCCAAGCCUCCAAAGCCCAUCAGCAAAGCUCAAGCCCGAAGAUAACAAUGAGCAAGCCCAAGCCCUUCAUCACAUGCUCUUCUUCCUCAUCUCCGGUGACAGCGACGGAGAAGAAUGGAGGUGAGAGAGAGAUCGCCGGAGGUCCUCGAAGUCGGCCCCGGCUAUCGACUUUCCGCGCCGCGCCGCGCCGCCAUGUCGCGCUCCUCCCUACGGCGUCGGAAGCGUCCAGCUGCAGCGGCCUGGUGACGGCGUGGAGCCUGCUACUGCUGCCUUUACAGGCGCGCGAGGGGCUUCCUCCUCCGGCAGCGACGCCGCCCGAGUAGUGGGAGAAAUAUGGUGGUGGGUGCGUAAAAGUGACGAGGUGCAUGGGAAAUGAUGGGUUUAAUGAACAUAGAGAUGGGAAACUGUGAACAUGAAGGAUAAAAAAAAUGCAGGCAUGGAGUUGGUGACGCGAAGGGAGAGAGAAGGUAGUAAAAAAAAUGGGUUUGCUGGGUGUACAGGGUAUAGACGCAGAGUAUGAAGAUUCUGACAGGUGGGCAUGGAAAGAAAAACUUCAAAGCUGAUAUUGAAAACCUUCUAAAACUAAAUUUUCUGUCAACCAAGGCUGUAAAGAAACAAAGAACUUUGAGACCUCAUUGAGAUCUUUCUCAGAGAUAAUGCAUGUGACAAAUUCUAUUGACCAAAGGUGGCAACACGCCCCUAUAUUAGUUAACUUUCAAUACCGCACCCUUGCUAAUCCAGAAAAACUUUACAAAAUGAUAUGUACAUGAAAGAACCGAUAGCUUGUAGAAACAAGUACCUGUAUUGGCUCCUUCCAAUGCGACUCCUCGGUGUGUUCCUUCCUCUCUCUGACCAGUUAUCUCUCCCCAAGUCCGGCCUCUCUCUCGAUCUCGGGCUCCUCUGUGGACGUCCUCCUCCUCCAGAAAAGUCCCCCCCCCUCUGUUUUUGAGUCUUCCUCCACAAGCCAUCCCCGUACACCAUCCCAUCUGCCACCCCAAAAAAACGCCCACUUGAGUCCCCUCUCUGCCCCAAAAACCAGCCCACUCCAGUCCCAUCAUGUCGAGCGGCUCGGGAAGAAAAAGAUAGGAAAAAUUAAAAAUAGAUAAAUAAUAAUAAUAAUCACUAAAAGAACUGUCUGCAUCCGGGGGUCUACAAUAAAAUAAAAAAAUAAAAAGGUUGUAAAAAAAGUUGUUGAUAUUGUUCAUCAAACAUUUGAAGUUACUAAUAUUUUUUUUUCCUUGUUGGGAGAUAGGUAAGGUAGACACUAAGCAACAAAAUGUGGGACACAUGGUGUACAUGACUUAGUAAAUUAGCAAUAAAGAGAAGUGACGUCACAGGCGACAAGGGCUUGUGUGUGCUCAUUUGUUGAGAUGUGGGGUGGAAAGUACAAUUUUAAAGGAAUAUUCCUCUCUAAUGGUUCACGUUGUUAUUACUCAUGUGUAAUUUAAAAAGGGUCCCAACAAAUGCAAUAAUUUAUAAAAUAUUUCCCAAAAUUCGCUUUAAAAAUUUGUGUAAUUUAUUAAUUAUUCUUAUUUUUUAUAAAAUUAUAAAGGAAUUAAAUAUAUAAUUUUUUUAAGGGGUAAAAUUUAAUAUUUAUUACUUAAUAGCUUAAGUGAAUUUUAAUUUAAAUUAUAUUCAAGUUAUUGACUUAAAAUUUAUUAAUUAAUUUUUAUAUUAAAUAUUAAAUUUGUUUGAUAAAAUUAAUUUAAAAUUUAUUUUAAAUCAUCAAAUUGAUAUAUUUAUCCUUAUAAAUUAUAGUUUAGGUAAAAAAAAAUUGAGUAACAAUAGAGGUCAUGGAGUAACAAAAGUGAUAGUUGAGGUCCUUAGGAUAAAUAUGGAUAAAAAGAUAAAAUAAAAAUGUGGAAUUAAAAAUAAGAUAAUUAUUUUUACUUAUUAUUUAGAAUUAAUUUUUAUUUUAAGUUAUACUAUUAACUUAUUUUAUUAAAUAUACUUAAUUUAUUUAAUGACUUAAAUUAAGUUAUUAAAUCAUUUUAAAUUAUUAAGUUGGUUUACAAACAUCCACAAAUUCAUGAACUCAUUUAUUUUUAGUAUUUGCAAUUUUAUUUUCUGUUAUCUUAAUUUAUAUAAAUUUAUAAAGUGAGCAAAAACAUGACUUCAUGUCAAACAAUGAAGUUUAUUUAUUUUUUUAAAUUUUAAAAUAAUUUUAAUUUUUAAAAAAUUAUAAAUUGAUAAAGACAUACAAAUACAUGAAAUUAUCUAUUUUCAAAUUCUUUUAUUUUUUUAUUUUUCUAUUAUUCUUAUUUGUAUAAAAUCAUAAAAUUACUUCAUUGAUGUGAAACUUAAAGUUUCAUUUGAUGAUUUCAAGUGAUUUAAAAUUUUUAAUUGAUUUAUAUCUUUAAUUUUUUUAUUAAUCCAAGAAGGAAAAAAAAUUAAAAUUUAAAAAUACAACAAAAUAAUGUUCUAUUCUAUUAAUUAAUAUAUUUAGGAACAUGUCUUUAUAAAAUAUUUAAGCAACAAAUAAAAUAGAUUAAGGAGGUAUUAUUUUAUUUUAGGAUAUGGAGAAUUUGGGCAUGUAUGUUAAUUAUUCUUAAAAAUAAUUUUUUAUUUUUGAGAAUAAAAAAUAGAAAAUCAUGUUUGACAAUAAAAAAAUAAGUGCUUCGAGAGAAAAUGUUUUAGAUGUUUUCCAUUAUUUUCACUUGUUUUGGAAGAAUUAUUUUUAAAAAAUAAUUAUACAAAUAAUGAUUAAAAAUAAAGUAUAACAAUCGAGUUCUUAAACAAACUUUUAUUUUACAAAAUAAGAGAGAAUGAUGUUUAAAAACACUUAUCCAUCAAAACCUACACUAAUGUUUUUAUGUUGUGUUUUCAAGUUUUCAUUUAAUUUUGAAAAUAGUUCUUAAAAACAAACUAAAUUAGUGAUGGAAAUCAAGUUAGUUUGGAAUAGGUCACCCUCAUCUUGACCUUGCUCUAUCCCGAGUUUGGAAGAACUAUGAUCGUGUAACAACUUGCACCCAAAUGUGUAAAUAUUAUUCGUUUUAAAUCCAAAAAGACUUUCACAUCUUUAAAACAUGUUUACAAUGUUAAGAGAAACUCAUAUUUAUAUAGUGUCAGGAAGCUAAUCAUCGACUUCGGUGUAGGGGUUUGUUUAACCCCAUGAUGGGUAUUUGUCUGUUUAGUCAUUUCAUCCCAUGAGAACAAAGAGGACGUUGUGUCUGUAUGAGAUAGUAUUUUUGAUAUCCCAUAUUGGAUAUAAGAGAAAGUUUCUAAUGUUGUAUAAAUAUGAAUUCCUUUUUGUAGACCCCCUCGGAUAGAAGGAUUUUUAUUCCUUUUUCUGACCACACCAUAAGUGAGUUAUUUUGGGUGACCAAAGAGGACAAGAAGUGAAAGAAAAACAGUUGAUGGGUGAGCUAUUUUGGGCGGCUAGAUGGGACGGGAAGCAGGAAGAGAAAAUGGGGUGAGCUGUUUGAAAAGGAGAGGGGACGUCCAAAAAUGGGGGCUAUGCACAACUAAUAAAGAAGAAGAGAAAGCUAGCAAGAAGCAGAGAGGAGAUGGGGAUUCAUCGGAGUAGCAAAGAUAAGAAGCUGAGGAGAGCAGCAAGGAAGGAGAAGUAGGAAAUCAACCUGCCAUCAUUUUCCUAGUCUAGGUACGAUUCCAACUUAUUUUACAUUUCUUGUUUGGAACUAUUCUCUUGAGUUUUCUUGCUGUUGGUGGGUUCAUCUUGGUGCUUGAAAGCAACUUGUGCAUGCUCUGUUUUUUUUUUUUUUUUCAUUUUCCUUUAUCCUUUGUUUUUGGCAUAUUUUGGAAUAUUGGGUGAUCACGAGACGAGGGUAAUGCGGGUUUGGGAAGCAGUUAUGUUUGUUUGAUGCAUUGAAAUCUCCAUGGGUUCAUUGUGCUUGAUCAUUUCCCGGCCUUUAUCUCUCUCUACUCUUCAUCAUCAUUUCUCAAGUGCCAAACCUUCCUGCCAUCGCCAUGGUUCUUGUCAUCGAAAAGACCACCUAUGGCCGAGAGUAAAAGGUCAAGGACAUGUUUGAAGCCCACGUGCCACCCCUAGUACUGCCAUCGACGCCUCUAUAUAUGCAGCAAUCGUGGUCACCCAUUGAACCCAUCAUGUCAACCAUCUUCAUCUUCAUCUCCAUUUCCAUUUCCAUCUCCAUUUCCAUCUCCACCUUUAUCUCUUAUUGUCUCUCUCCAAUUAAGUCAUUCGGAAAAUCUCCAUUUCCGCUACUUGAACCUGAACCAGCGUCAUCCUCUUCCCCGACUCCGGCAGUCUCUCCAAGCCUCCACCCAUUGCCAAAGCACCCACACCUGUCUCCUCCUUUCUAGCUCCACUGAUAGAGUCGCCAAAAAACUUUCCAUCGGAUGCUCCAAUUAAAUCAGAAAAUAGCACGUCGGACAAGUUGGUUGUUGAUGUCAUUGCUCCAACAAUGCCGGAUAAGCUCAGCACUGUUCCUAGCAUUUACACUUGACUACAUGGUAUGGGGAUAUGGGAGGAAUUGUAGUCUUUAUUUAUUAUUUUUUUUUAUGGUGCCUACCGUAACCUAGAUGGGUAUGGUAGAUAUAUGCAUGAAAAAUAGGUUUGUGGUGUGGGUAUGGUAGAUAUAUUUAUGGAAAAUGGGUUUGUGGUGUGGGUAUGACAGACAUAUGCAUGGAAAAUGGGUUUGUGGUGUGGGUAUGAUAGAUAUAUGCAUGGAAAAUGAGUUUGUGGUGUGGGUAUGACAUUGUUGCAAUAUGGAAAAUGAGUUUGUGGUGUGGGUAUGACAUUGUUGCAAUAUGGAAAAUGAGUUUGUGGUGAUACUGGUCCUGUACAAGUUUGGCCAAUGGUGCUAAGGCCUUUUGUCUUCUUUUUUUUUUUUUUAAUUUUUUUAUUAUUUUUCUUCAAUUUUGAUGCCAAAAAUUUAAUAUUCAAAAUUUUAAUCUUAAGAUAAUUUUUUUAGUUUAAUUUUUAAAACUUUAACUUCUCAAACUUAAAUUUCUUUCAAAUUUAAUUUCCAAAAUUCCAAUUCUUAAAUUUAAUUUUCAAAACUCCAAUUUUUAAAUUUAAUUUUCAAAACUCAAAUUCUCACAUAAUUUUCAAAAUUUCAAUUCCUUUCAAAUUUAAUUCCCAAAAUUCCAAUUUCUUUCAAAUUUAAUUUCCAAAAUUCCAAUUCUUAAAUUUAAUUUCCAAAACUCCAAUUCUUAAAUUUAAUUUUCAAAACUCUAAUUCUCAAAUAAUUUUCAAAACUCCAAUUCUCAAAUAAUUUUCAAAAUUCUAAUUCUUAAAUUUAAUUUUCAGAACUCCAAUUUCUUUCAAAUAAUUUUCAAAACUCCAAUUUUCAAAUUUAAUUUUCCAAACUUUAAUUUUCAAAUAAUUUUCCAAAAUUCCAAUUUUCAAAUUUAUUUUUUUAGAAAUUUCCAUUCUUAAAUAAUUUUCCAAAUUCCAAUUUUCAGAUUUAAUUUUUAAGAAAUCUCAUUCCCAAAUAAUUUUUCCAAGUUCCAAUUUUCAUAACUUCCAGUUUCAAAUUAUUUUUCUAAAAUUCCAAUUUUCAAAUUUAGUUCUUAAUACUUCAAUUUUCAAAUAAGUUUCAAAACUUGAUUUUCAAAUAUUUGUCUUUCAAAUGGUUUUAAAUCUUUUAAAUUUAUUUAUUUAGUUUUUUUAUUCACCUAAUUUAAUUAUUUUAUUUAUUCAUCUUUUAUCUAUUUAUUUAUUUAUUUAUUUAUUAUUUUAUUAUUUUACUUUAUUUUAUUCGUUUAUUUAUUUAUUUUUCAUUAUUAUUAUUAUUAUUGUUGUUGUUGUUGUUGUUGUUGUUAUUUUCUUCUUUCUUUUUUCUUUUUCUUUUCUUCAUUAAAAUCCCGAUUCACCAAAAUCUAAUUUUUAAUAAACUUGUUGCCAUUUUUUUAUUCAGGCAUGCAUCUUGUGAUUUUCUUUGGUUUUUAAUAAUUUUCUCGUUUUUCACUAUUUUUAAUAAGCAUGAAGGCAAUUUUCAUAAUUCCAAAAUAAUGGAAUUUGUGAUAUUAAUUCAUGCAAGAUCAAUUGGGCUUUGGUGGGGGCCCUACAUAUGAGUUUUCUCUUCUGAUUGUCAAUUGUUAUGCUUAAUGAGUAUUGCAUGAUCUUUGUUUUUCAAUUUGAUAUGCAUGUGAUAUAUUUUAUAUUCGUUAUUGUGCACUAACUCUGUUUCAUGAUAGCGUUUUAUUACUUGCUGCCAAGGUACGCUCUCACUCUCACUUUGUUCAUUUAUUCAUUAUCAUGACCUGAUUUUGAUCUAUGAUCUCUUUGGUAUCCAUUGAUCUCCUAGUUAAUUGUCAUACUUGUUUCACCUUAUUUAGUAGAGACCCAUUUUUAGGGGCUUAGUGAGGUGCUACGAUUUUUACCAUACUUUCCUAAUGAGUAAGCUGAUUCUCGGACCCAGAUUCGGUUUUUCACAAACCUAUUUUUUUCCUUCAGGAGUCAUACUUAGGGUUUUUCUUUCUUAUUUAGUUUUUCCCUUAAAAAAUAAAAUAAAAAUAAGUGGCGACUCCAAGUGUUUUUCUAAAAAUCAAAUUUUCACCAAACAAAUAAAAAACGAGUUUCGACAUCGAGUAGAAACACAUCAAGCGAAAUAUGGGGUCCACAAAAUGGCGACUCUAUUGGGGAAUCAUUUAGAGGGUCAAACUUGAACUUAAAAUGAAGCAAAUGUGGUGUUUGAUUAGCCGGUUGACGGAUACCUUCCCUUUGUGCUUCUUUAUGCUUGAGUGAUCACAGCACAUUGAGGAUUUUGAUGCAACGAUUUUUUAUGCUUCAUUGUUAUGUCUCUUUGGGACAUUGACAUGCUGAUGAUAUUGAUAGAUUUUCUUACUUAUCUUAGCAUAUUGAUUUUUCUUUUGCCAUGAUUAUUCUGCUUACUUUGACAUGUAUGCUCAUAUUGCUGUAUAUUUUUUUUCUUAGUGUUGAUUAUCUUGCUUGUAUAUUAUUUUGAUCAUUUUUGAGCAAGUUAUCCUUGUUGCUAUCCAUUUUGAUUGCCAUAUUCUCAUUUAGCUUAUGUGUGGACAUAAAUGAUAUACCUGCGUUCUGUUUGACUGCCUGUUGCAUGAUUGCUCUUCUCUUGUGUGUUUGCAUGUUGCUUGUCCGUGUGGGUCGCAUAUAUAUCCCCUUACCUCCAAUCCACUGGUUUCGACCAUUUUCUUCAUUUCGGUUCUUACAUUUGCAAGUGUGAGGCCUUGUGUGUGCUUGUUUCUCUAACCGAGCCAGUUGUUUGGGAACAUUCUGGAGGAGAUGGACUUAUUGAUACUGAUUGGAGUCUAGUCUUUGAAGACCUGUAUAGCCUAGAGCUAGGUUUCAUGGAUAUUUGUGUGAUUAAUAUGUUUCAUUUUCUACUUUAGCUUCAUAGGAUUUUCGGAUGCACCCACACCACUCACUGUGCACUUUAGUUGACUACUGAGUGCUGAGAGUUGCCAAAGCUUUCACCAUAGGAAACCCUUUGGGAUGUCGAGGUAGUGCAUGUGUGGAGGUGGUGACCACCUUGCAUGGAAGCGCCCCGUCUCUUCGGAGGUGUGUAGAGGGUUGCGUACCACCGAAGGGUAUGAUCGCUUUUGCUAGAGAUCCUUUAAAGUCCACCUCUCUUCUUUUUAGAGUCACAUUGACCUUGUAGGUUGAGCUUUAGAUCCUUCAAUCAUGAUUUCUUUUCCUAACACGUGGGUGCAUCUAAUUGCCUUUAGAGCUAGUUUAGUAGUGAUAGGUUUAGUUACCUUCAUAGUAAUCUCUUUUAUAUUUGCCCAGAAUUGGAUAUCAGUUUGAUUACUUCCAAGUUAUAUUUCGGCAUAUUUGAUAGACAUUCCUUGUAGAGUUUCCCUUACAUCGUAUCUUAUCUAGUAUUUCCACUAUUCUAGGAGUAUUGAUACUUUCGGCCUGGGUUCAGCUUCUUGGAUCAGAGUUAGGGGUAGAUUGAUCAAAGUAUUAGACCAAUUAGACCAGAUAUUAUAUUAGAGGGGUAUGGACUCAUAAAUAGUUACCAUUGACCAGUUUGUUGCGGUCAUGGCUUCAAUUUAGGAGGCAAUAGCUAACCUGGGCCAGAGAAUAGAUUAGCAGCAUGCCCAAUAGGUCUCGCCUCAGGAUGGCGCACAGUAUGACCAUAUAGUAUCACCACUCUCUCUACCUAGUCAAUCAGCACCACAGACUAUACCUUUCACUCUACAUAGUCAGACCGAAGUUGUCCCGCCUUUAGUCACAGUGCCUACCCCGAUCUUAGAGGACCCACAUGCUCGUAUCAAUAGACUUGAGUAGAAGUUGAGGCAAUUGAGGACUUCAGAUGGAGUUAUUACUUAAGAGGAUUUUGAUGGAGCACCAAUGGCCAGUUUAUUGGCCAAGUUUAGGAUGCCUGAGAUUGAGAGAUACACGAGCAUUGACUAUCAUCGCAUCCAUUUGAGGCUUUACAGUAUGGUUAUGAGGGCCCAUGGAUUGGAUGAGGCCCAGAUGGUUAUGUUUUUCCUUAUGUCCUUAAGUAGCACGACACAAUGUUGGUUUGUUUCAUUGGAUGUAUCACGCCGCCAAACUUAGGAUAAUUUGGCCCAAGAGUUCUUGAGACAAUUUGCAUUUAAUAUUGUCAUUGAUGUCUCGAGGAGAGAGUUAAAGGCUUUGAGGUAGAGGCUAGAGGAGUCGGUCACCUCAUUUAUUUCCCGUUGGAGGGAGAAGAUUUCAUAAGUUAUUGAUAGGUCAUCUAAGAAGGGUCAGAUUAGUAUGAUCAUGAGGAGCUUGCAGCCUCGAUUUGUGAGGCACUUGAUGGGAUUCCCUCAUAUGGAUUUUGGAUCUUUGGUACAGGCCUUAUACGGUAUAAAGUAGGGCAUAGUUAGAGAAUUAUGGCCCAAGUCUUCUCCUUCUGAUUCGAAGGGGAAGAAACCUUUAGGAGGACAUAGAUCAAGAGAUGUGGGUGCUAUCAGUUCAGUAGGUUUGAGACCUACUAGACGCUAUCAGACAGUUGGGCAUACUUUUGGAUUCUACUACCCACCAUCGCCUCGUGUGCAGUAUAGGCCAUGAGCACCUAUUCAGUCGUACGAUCAGGCCUACUUGUCUUCCACACUAAAACUGCCUUAUUAUGCCGCAUAGGGCACAGAGAGACCUCUAGCUUCAUAUCCUACUCCAAUACAACCAUGCUACGCAACACAGUUUGCAGCGAGACCCUUAGCUUCCUAUCCCAGACCUAAAGCUCAGCAAAAUUCUGUUCCUUUUACUUUGAGGACACAAAGACAGUUUUCAUAAUUGGGUAUGUCGUUGAGCCAAGCUCUUCGGAAGCUCAUAGAGGUCGGAUUAUUGACAGUUCUUGCUCUCAGGCCAUUGCCUCAGCCCGUCUGACCACAGUUCAAGAUGAAUUUACAUUGUGCAUUUCAUCAGGGGCCAGGGCAUGAGACUGACCGCUGUACUACUUUGAGGCACGCCAUCCAAGAUUUGAUUGAUCAGGGUGUGGUUCACUUGGGUUAGUCGAAUGUAACCACUAACCCAUUACCAGCUCAUACUACACACGCAGUUCCCCCUCCGACCGAUGGCAUACAUUUCCUUAACUUUGUUGAGCUUGAUGAUCAUAUCCACAUGCUGAGUUGGGAUGAGUCGGAGCCAGAUCCAAUCGUAUCAGAUGAGAUUUAUGAGUUAGGUGGAGUGAGCUUAGGCCCACAGAUUCCCACACCAUUCAGAUUGGUUCCUAAGGUGACAUCCGUACAGUUGACCACAGUUGAGCCAUUGACUUUCCCACGUUAUAGUGUUUAGACUUCAUUUGUUUUGAUUCCGGAUGUUGAUGAGGUUUAGACUCCAUAUGUUGAUGAUGUUUACACUCUUGAUAUACAAUAUGUUAUUUGCAAGGGUAGAGUGGUACGAAAACAACCCCUCGCAACCGCUAGACCCUUGGAAGGGACGUCUGCUCAUGAGGAGGUCAGGAGAGAGGAUAAUGAGAUCCUGAAACAGUUGCAGAGCACCCAGACUCGUAUAUCUAUUUGGAGCUUACUAGCAUCUUCUAACACUCACAGAGAUGCAUUGAUUCGAACUUUGAGUCAGAUCAGGGUUGAGACUACCACUACUCCGGAGGGGUUGAUCCACAUGAUGACAGUUGGCAAAGCCACUUGCAUUGUAUUUUUUUAUAAUGACUUGUCACCCGAGGGUUCAGACCAUACACGUUCACUGUACAUCUCAGUUGGUUGUUCAAGCCAUCGAGUGCCAUUUGUCAUUUUGGACAAUGACUCGGCCUUGAAAGUUUGCCUUUUAGCCACUGCCAUCACCCUUGGUUAUGCACUCUCAGACUUUGAUCCUUCUACUCAGACAAUCAGAGCAUAUGAUAACAUUAAGAGGGAGGUCAUGGGCACUUCGAAGAUCUAGUUGUUGAUAGGUCCAACCAUAUUUCCUACUCUGUUAUAGGUUUUGAGGAUUCCUACAUCCUUUAACUUGAUAUUGGGUCGACCUUGGAUUCAUAAAGCUGGAGUCAUCCCUUCUUCCCUUCAUCAAAAGGUGAAGUUCAUUCACAAUGGGCAGGUCGUCAUAGUGCGGUCUAGGAUGAAUGUUUAAUUAAAUACUCUAAAAAAAGUAAAUUAUAUUCUAAAAAAAAAUUAAUAGUAUGGAAUUGUAUUUAGGUUACUUAAAUUGAAUUAGGAAAGACUACCACAAAUAAAAAUGGCUUAUAUAGAAGCUUAUUUAAAAGUAACUAUGCUAAAAGCAUUUUUGGCUUUUGUACAAGCACUUUUUUUAGGAAUUCAUCAGUAUUUGAAUGUAAAUAAAUAAAAUAAUUUUUGUCAGAAUUUUUUUCUUAAAAUAUAAAGUUUAAAACUUUCUUUUAAAAAAGAAGAGAUUGAAAUCUUGGUAUUAGAGUUUAAAACUUUUUCCUUAUUGGGAAAAAUAUGUUUCAUACACUCAUAUGAAAACAAAAAACUAUAAAAUAGGAACUUAAGUUUAUGAAAUACAAAUUUUAAGCAGCUAACUAAAAAUAAUUAGCAUUUUAUACAUUUUUUUGGUCAAAUGUAUUACCUAUGAUUAUUCAAAUACAACAUUUUAAUGAUAUAAGUACUACUUUUAAUUAUCAGGUACUACAUUUGACUGGUAAAUACAUGAGACUUAAAUUAUUUUUAAAGGUUCCUAUUUUAUAAUUAUUUUUUAUAUGAGGGUGUGAAAACACAUUUUUUUCCUUGUUGGUAAAAGUAAAAGGUAAUAAAUAAUUUUUAUUUUUUCAAUUGUUGUGUAAGAUUUUAUGAGUUUUAUUAAUAUUUAUGAGAUCUUAUAGGAUAGUUUUGAGAUAAUUAAGACUCUGACUACAAAAAUCAUCUUUUUCAUUUUUAUGGAAAAAACAACCGAGUAUUAUUUGAGUUUUCAUAUUUCUUUGACAACUAGAUAACGGAUAGUGGAUAGAUUCUCUAUAAUCUUCCUAUGAAUACUCGUAAAAGAAAUAUUUAUGUUAGGCAGUGAUUAGGAUUUGAGCGAGUAUAGUUCGUUAAUUGCGCAUAUAGAGAUAACUUUACGACAAUAUGUUUAUUGUUCGUGAAUGACACACAAGGAGACAAUAGUAGCUUUAAGACAACGUGCUACCAUGUGUUUUACCAUAUCAAAUAAAAAAUGGAGAGAACAUAGAAAAAUACUUUAUUUUCCAUAACACGUUUUAUGAUUUAUAACAUGUCAUAUGAUAGAAAAAUAAUUUUUUAAGAAGUACAUAUUAAGUUACCAUUUCAAAAAUCCUUAAGACUAUAUUUGGUUCUGAAAAAUACUAGGGAAAGAAAAAAUUGUUAAGAAAAAUAGUUUUCUCAUAUUUAAUUUUACUAUAAAAGAAAAUAAAAUAUAAUUAAAAUUAAUUUAAAUUUUAUAUAUUUUUAAAUUAUUUAAUUUUACUAUAAUAGAGAGAAAUCAAUAAAAUGAGUUUGAAAAAGCAUAUAAAAAUAAUUUAUUAAAUUUAAACUUUCUUUUUUUAUUUUCUUUCACUUUUUCUCUUUUUUUACUUUUCCUCUCUAUUUUUUUUUUCCCAUUUUACCUCAUAUUUUCUAGGAAUCGAACAUACCCUAAGUAAUUCUCAUUUUUAUUUUUAUUUUUACAAGAAAAGCACUUCAAAAAUAUCAUGAACUACUCUUUUAAUUUUCUCAAAAUGACUUAUUGAGCUAAAGUUGCAAUUUGGAUACAUUAAGUCAAAUGUAAGGUUAACUUGCACCAACCUAACUUUUGGUUGGGUUAAGAAUUCCCAACCUACUCCCAUUUAUGGACCACUAAGGUUUUUCAUAGAUUAUUAAAUUAAAAAAAAAUCCUAAAACAGAAUUCCCAAUGAAUAAACAAUUAAUAUAUCUCAAAGUUAUAAGUCAUAUUAUUAAUUACUAAUUCAACAUCAACACAACUUUAGCUUAAUUCUUAACAUUCAAAGAUUUAAUAAUUUAAAAAUGACAAUUGCAAUAGUAUAAUAUGACAACAAAAAUGUCAAAAAGUGAAAAGUUAAUUUUAUUUUAUAUUUUAAAUAAAAUAAUAAAUUAUAUAAUUACAAAUAAUAAAGAAUCAAUAAUAAUUAAUACAUGACUUUCGAUGGGUUAUUUGCAUCUUCAACCCUUGAAAAUUCGAAUAAAUUUUAACUAAAAUAUUAUACAUAAAUUAAAAAAUAUAUUUUUAAAUAUAACAAUUAAAAAAUUAUUUUAUAUAUAAAAUAUUUUUAAAUUUAUCUCUUUUAAAAGACAACAUUAAUUAAAUUUUUUAAAAAUAAUUUCUUAUUAGAUUUUUUCAACGGUAGUAAAUCUAAAAAUAAUUUUACAAAAUUUAGAAAUAAUUUUUUAAAAAUAUUUCUCAAAAUUACUACAAAUCAAAUUACAAAAACUUGACCACCUCAAGCCCAAUUAGAAUCUAGAUUUAAAUUAAGUGGGUGGGAAAUGUGGCAACUUCCUUGUCCUUUUAUGGCUUAGCUGCUUGGAAGUUGGACACAAGUCACACAAUAUACAAAAUUCAUUGACCAAAACACCCACAAGUCACAAGUUGAAGUGUGAACACUCUUUAUUUUUAAUUUUUUAUUAUUAUUUUAUUGUUUUUUUUUCUUGGUUCAAUGUCAUAGUGGGAAUCCAAACCUUGGAAAACCCACACUGGCCAUGCAUGGACAAUAUUCUCUUUUGAAAUUAAAUUUUCAAAAAUUUCAACAAUAAUAUAUUUUAAUUUUUCCUUUUCUAUUUCACUUUCACACCUCUACAUGUGUGCCUUUGGAAUUUACUUGUUGAGACAUCUGACUAUGAGGUGGUAUCUUGUUUGAAAUUUGUCUCUAUUUGCUUGUAAGCUUCAAAGAUCUUAAUCAUCUUAUGACUUUAAGGAAAAAAAGUUGGACUUCCAUAUGUUCAUUUGAAGACUAUUACUGAAGUUUGGAUGCUCUAUCCUUGUGUUAGAAUUUUUGACUUUUGCAUCAUUCCAUAUGUGAACUUUGAGUUGACCUUUGUCCCCGUAAAGGAAAAAAAAAACAUAAUUCUUGCUUAAUGAUCACAUCAAUGCCCAAAAUACCAUAAUUCUUGCUUAGCAAUUCGCAUUAAUGUUAAUAUUAAAGUUAAAUAUUUAAUGGGUGUUUGAUAAAUCAACUUACUAACUUAAAAUAAUUUAAUAAUUUAAUUUUAAUCAUUAAAUAAAUUAAAUAUGUUUGGUAUAAUAACUUAAUAAUAUAACUUAAAAUAAAAAAUAACUUUAAGUAAUAAGUAAAAAUAAUUAAUUUAAUAUCUUUAUUUUAACUUUUUAUCGCAUUUACCCUAAUUACCUUCACAAUCUCUUUUACUACUAUUUUAAAUUCAAUGUUACUCAACCUCAUUUAUGAUAAUUAUAAUUUAUGAGGAUAAAUAUGUUAAUUUGACGAUUUAUAAUAAAUUUUAAGUUAAUUUUAUCAAACAAUCUUAAUAUUUAAGUUUUAAGUCAAUAAUUUAACUUAAAAUCAAUUUAAAUUUUUAAUUAAUAAGUAUUAAGUUUUACCGAACAUCCCGUUAGUUAAGUUGAGAACUUUGUUUCAUUUAUUCUAAUUUAGGAUUCUAUAUACUUCCUUGUGACUUACAAUACCCGUGAAGACUUGAGAUUGCUAUAAACCCAUCUUACAAGUAUAGUGGAAUAACUUAAUUAAAAAAUAAGAAGCAAAUUUAAGGAGUGCUUAGGCCUCGUUAAAUGAUAUUCACGCAAUCAAAUUUGAUGUUGACCCAUUUUGAAGUUUUUUUUCCCUUUUCUAUGUGCUUUAAAUAUAUCAUUGUUAUUAUUUAUAUUUAAUCCAAUGAACUCAAGUUUGUGGUAACAAACCACAUUCUCUCAACGACGUAAGGAGUACCAAGGUGUUUUGUCUCGAGAACAAGGAUAAGUGUAAAUCCUAGUAGUGUAAAUCUUUGAGAAAAUAAUGUUUACCAAGUAAUUAUGUGCAAUUGACCUUUUAUGUUUAGUGGAUUUUUGCUUUGUAGUCCAUCGUGCCUAUAAUUUUCAUAUUCAUAAAGUGUCUUGAAAGAUUUGUAAGUGGUUUUUUCAUAGAUGGUUUGCUCUAGGAGAGAACUCCAGGCGAAUAUGAAGUGCAUGGAUAUAAAUUAAAGAUAUCUCAUGAAGAAUUCAACUUAAUAUUGUAUUUUAUUAUAUGAAUGCAACAUUUUACCUUGUCAAACCCGGGCUUUUUGAUGCAUACAAAUAUUUUUGUUAGAACGUUGAUACAUAACUAAUAGAUUACUUAUAGUAUCUCCAUUACCUAAUAAAAUGAUCUUGUUAUGCAAUUGAAAGUUUUGCUUUUAUUAAUUGAACACAUUAUAACAAAAAAAAAAUUACAAAAAAUUAAAAGAUCCAUUGGACUAAUAAUUGAUGAGGACCACUUAUAUACUUGCUUAAGUAGUUCCAUGAUACAACUUCCUAGGCUUUGUUUGGUAAUUAUAUUUUAAAACAAAAAUUUUAUUUUCUAAAUAAAAAAAUAGAAAAACUUAUUUGAUAAUAAGAAAAUAAAAAUUAGUGUUUUGUUCUUAAAAAUAAAAAUUAUAACGUUUUAAGAUAACAUCUUUCAUGUGUUUUUUAAGAAUUGUUUUAAAAAAUAAUUAUAUAAAUAUAUAAAAUGAUUAAAACUAAAACACUACCAUAAAAAUUAUUUUUAAAACAUUGAGAAUAUGUUAACAAUUAUUAAAAAUAGUUUUUGAAAAAAUAUUUUAUAGUGUUUUAUAAAGUAAAAGUCCAUUUAUGAAUUCAAAAUGUUUUUAACCUAUUAUAUAUGUUUUAAAAUUUUGUAUAAUUUUUUAAAAAAAUUUCUUAUAAAAAUUAUUGAAAGAAAAAUCUUAAAAAAUAUAAUAUAUAUAUUAAUUAUUGAGCCAGUCCUAAAUUUUGAAACUAGAAUUUAGGGAACAUGGUAUUGAUCCGUCGGUGGCUGCUGCCGCUGGAUCGAGUCCACAUGUGUACAUCUAUGAAGCAGCUGGCUCCUCCUUGAUUUCCGCGAUGUCGGUGCUGCCGACAUUCUAUUCCGGUUUCUUCCUAUAAUUGGAAACCGGAUCGGGUGUGUGGGGGUCCGCCCUACUGGCCCUACAUCAGGCGGUCCACAUCUCAUCUGAUAUUCACUGCUUAUGAAUCUAUGAUUAGUGAAGCUACCCCGCCCAUAUUUUCUCAAAUUCUUUUUGAUGAAUGAUAAGGCUUUUGGUUAUCUUCUUAAAUGCUCAAAAAUAAAUUUUUUCAUUUUAAGUCAUGAAUAAAAUUAUAAAUAUGAAAUUCAUUUUUUUAUUUAUCAUAAAAUGUUUUUACGAAACAAAAUAGGAAAAACACGGUAGAAAGAUUUUUUUUUUUUUUUUUUAAAGAAGAAUGCAUUUUGUAAUUUAUCCCACUUUUUAUAAUAAAUAAAAUAAAAGAAUUUUUUUAUUAAUUUUUCUGCAACUUUUAUAAUGAAUAGAUGAGAGAAUUUCCAAAAAUAGUUUUGAAGGUUUAGUUAACAAUUGUUUUUCAAAAUAAUUUUCUAUUUUUUAAAACAAAAAGAAAAAAGAAAACAUGUCUAAUAAUAAGAAAAUCGAGAAUGAUUUUUUUAUCUUAAAAACAAAAAAAAUAAGGUAUUUUUUAAUAAUAUAUUUUAAUUAUUUUUAUUUAUUUUUUGAGAACGGUUUAAAAAAAUAAUUAUAUAAAUAAAAAAUAAUUAAAAAUAAAAUAUUAAAAAUAAAAAUUAUUUUUAAAAUAAAUUUAAAAAUAUAAAAAACAUAUUAAAAAUAUUUCAAUUCUUAAAUAUAUUUUUACCCUACAAAAUAUUAAAAAAUAGUUUUCAAAAAGCAUUUUUUUAACGAUAUUUCUCAUAUGGGAGUUUAAUUUUACGUGAACAAUACCAAAAGUGUGCAAAUAUAAGAAUGAAGGUGGGCAAGGGAGUCAAUUUGCAAGGAAUGAAAGAAAUAAAAAAGAGAUGGAACAUGAUGGAGUAGUAGCAAUACAAUCUUUGCUUUUGUAGAUACUCCAAAUAAUAAAUAUAGAGAGGAGGAAGUGGGGGAAGUGUUGAAUACUUGCAAAGAAUAAUAAAUACGAGCAUGAAACGAGGCCGAUUGAGUGCGGGAGUAGUGACUCCCACGACAUUGUAUUUGUCGGUGAUAUGUGUUUCACUCUUGCCUCCCUCUUUCUCCUUUCUCCUUUCUCCCACUCCCUUUCCUAAAGAGCGUGCAUCACACUCUUACCUUCCCCACUCAUUUUUGUGAGUCGAUUAUAAAAACAACUUUUUGUUUUCAAUGCUUUCAUUUGUAGAUGUUGUUUUAAAUACUCUCAUCAAUAGUGAUGGAUGAGCACUACGUUAAUACGACUUCCUUCUAUUAUUAUUAUUAUUUUUUCCAAUUUCAUUUUCUUUUAUCACAACUUAGAUAUCCCACGUCUAAGAACUUCUUUAAAUUUUAUAAACUUAUUUUAAAAUCAUGACUCAUUUAAGUUUUAUGAGAGUAUUUGUUUGUUUGAAUUCACAAUUUUAUGAAACAUAAUGAGGACAUUGUAUCUAAAUAUUCUCAUAAUAGUGAUGGAUGAGCACCACGUUAAUACGACUUCCUUCUAUUAUUAUUAUUAUUAUUAUUAUUAUUAUUAUUUUUCCAAUUUCAUUUUCUUUUAUAACCACCCCUGUAAGACCUUUUUUUAAAUUUUAUAAACUCAUUUUAAAAUCAUGACUCAUUUAAGUUUAGGAUGAACGAUAUCUAUAUGAUUGAAUAUAGGUUUUUAUCAAUGAUAUCAGAACUGAUCUCCGACUUCGAUGUGAGAGUUUAUUUAACCCCAUGAAAAGUGUCUAUUUAGCCUUAUGAGGGUAUUUGUUUGUUUGAAUUCACAAUUUCAUUAGACAUAAUGAGGACAUUGUAUCUACCUGUAGUGGUGUUUGUGAUAUCUUUAUAUCGAACAAGAGAGAAAGUUUUUGAUAUCAUAAGUAUGAACUCCAAUUAAUUUUAUAAAUGCGUUUUAAAGUCGAAAAAAUAUUUUUGGGUGCAGAACAGAUAAUAUCUAUACGAUUGCUUGUACACGUGUUUUAAAACUGUGAGGACCAAUUUGGGUUUAGAGCAAACAAUAUCUAUACCAUUAGAAGUAGAUCGUUACAUUAUCAAUAUGAAUUACCUCAAAAAUAAUUUUCUAAUAUUUAAUUUUAGGUCAUUACUAAAAAAUAGAUCUCACAUUUUUAUUUAUAUUUAUUUUGUUAUAUAUAGUAACAAAUUAUAAACAAAUUAUUUUACUUAGUGAUAACUAUAAGUUAUGUAUAAACCUCAUUUAAUAUCAUCAUUAUCACAUGUUAGGUACAAAUUAUUAUGCAGUUAGAAAUUAUCACAUGUCUCGAUAUAGCCUAAAAGCUACACAAGAAUUAUUAAUAAUUUAAGAGUAAAAUUAAUAUAUAUUUGAAGUGAAUGUAACGUUAAUACAAAUCUCCUUUCUUGAUUAUGAAUGUCAAAGUAAAAGUCAACAUAAUAAAAUAAGUCGCAUUAUAUCACCAUAAGUGAAACAAUAUUGAAAAUAAUUAUAAGUAUGAUAUAAAAGAACAUUAAUCACAUACGUACAUGAAUAUCUAAAUAUUUAGUCAACUUUUAUGAAGUCCCAAUAAAAGUAAAAUAUAUAUAUAUAUAUAUAUAUAUAUAUAUAUAUAUAUGAAAAUGAAUUUUAUUAAUAGCGCGGUAUAUUAGAUUCGAUUUACAUUGAUAUUGAUUUCUUUGAAUGUCUUGAUGAAAAUUGAUCUUCUAGCAAAUGAAUGAUAUGAAUACUCUUAUUGAUUUAUGAUAUAUAAUAUAUUGUCAUUAUAUUUAUUAUUUUUAUUUACCUAAUGUUUUUUUCAAAUAUUAUUAAUAUAUGAAAUUAUAUAUUCUAUUUCAAGAUGAACGAAAAAGAUAUGUCUCAUAAAUUGUGCAACCGCUCAUACAUUAACAAAAGUUAACGUCAGUUCCAUACUAGAUCCUGCAGACUUGAUUGGAGGUAAUAAGGAUAAUUUUUUGGUCCAUAUAUUACUUUUAAAAUAAAAAAUAGCAAUAACUUUUAUAUAAGAUAGGAGAACUCUAGUAAGCAUAUAUUAAAAACGUAAUAACUUUAAAAAAUAUUUUAAAAAUUGAGGUACUAAAUUUUUUUUACUACUUUAAAUUUUUAAAAAUUAUUUUUAAUCUAUACUUAAAAAAAAUGUAUCAACUUGAUGCUUAAUUUUUUAAAACUAUUAAAAAGUCAUAAUCCUUUCAAAGUAUGUUUUCAAAGAGUUUUUUCAUUUUAUAUGGAAGUUACUAUCAUUUGGGUUAUAUUUGGUUCUCGAAAAGUAUUACAGAAAAUAAUUUUCUUAUAUUUGGUUUCACUAUGAAAAAUAUGAAAGAAAAUCAAAUACAAUUAAAAUUAAUUAAAAAAUUAUAUAUUUUAAAAUUAUUUAAUCUUUAUAUGAUCAAAGAAAAUAAGUGAAAUAAAUUUCAAAAAACAUAUAAAAAUAAUUAUUGAUAUUAAAUUUAUUUAUUUUUUAUUUUCUUUUCAUUUUCUUUUCCUCACAUUUUCCCCAUAACUAAACACACACACAUAUAUGUAUAUAUAUAUAUAACAAGAAAUGUAUCCAAACAACACUCAAAUAUCUAAAAUAUUUUUUAAACUUAAUUUAUAUAUUUUUUUAAAUAAAAACCAUUUAAAAAAAAAUUUAACUUUCUUUGAUAAUUUCACAAGAAAAAGUUCUUGGUAUGCUUAAUCAUCUCAUUUAUGAUCAGAAUUAUAUAAUUUAUUACAAGGAUGCAAGAUUAUUUUGUCAAAAUUUCACGGAUUAAUUUUGACGAGUUUAGAGCUAAUUAUUUUUUCAUGACAAAAAUGUCAUACAAAAUUCCAUCAUUUAAUAAAUUUCAAAAUUUUAAUAAAUUCAAAAUUAAAUUUGAGACAACCAUAACCAUCAUACUCUAGAAAUUUGAAACCUAUUGAAUGCAUACAAAAUAACUAUUUUCAGAAGUACGUAGAAGUGAUCAUUGGCAGCACUUAAAUUUAAGUCGGAUUUGUGGCCAACUUGAAUUAAUGAACACUCACCUUGAAUUGAUAAACAUGAACUCAAUCUGUGUGCACUUGAAGUGAUUAAUCCAAACUUAAUCCAAUUUCAUUUUUCUGAAUUUAGGUUAAGUUUUUGUCUAACUGUUUUUCCUCUUCCAUUGAUUACAUACCAAACAAACAAUAAACGUGGAAUGAAAAAAAGAAAUAAACUAUGUAUUUUAAUAUCUAAUUUUAUUGAAAGACAAUGACGUGUUAUAAAGAUGAGUCUGGUAUAAAAUACCUAACAUUACAUAAAAUUCACUAUCUUAAAGUUCGUUAUUUUUUUAUGGGAUACCUAAAAGAUUAUUCAUUAUCUUGGUAAGAAUAAUGGGACCAUUUGUUUAUUUUUUUUAUAUUUUAAUUUUAAUAUCCUCUUUCAUUGUAUUAGAGUUAGGAAUUUGAAUCACUUUAGGUUUUUAUAAUGAUUUUUUGUCUAUAAUUUUUAUGUAUUUAUACUCAAAUUUUAAAAAUAAAUAAAAUAAUAUUUCAAAAUGAGUGUUUAAACCAAUUUAAAUAUCGAAUUAAAUUAACAUUUUAAAUUUAUGUUCACAAUCACCCAUUUCAUAUAAAAGAAGAAAAAAUUAAAAUACAUAUAAAACAAUACCAUGAAAAAAAUAUGACAAUUAAAAAAGUCUGUUAGGGUAGUAUUUGGUUGGUACAAGGAAAAGUCCAAAAUAAAAAACCCUUUUCAUUUCUAGGCAAAACUUGUGGUUCAUUGAUUGAACAACAUGUAUUUUUUUCAUAUUUUAUUUUAUUUAUUUAUUUUAAGAGCAUGAAUCUAACCUACAUGUGGACUAACUACAACAACCAAUGAAGGCCACCAACUCCAACCCUCCUUUGCACCACAAUUUCCAUGCUACUGUUAUAUGGCAAGUGUGGCUUUCAUCACCAACCCUUGAUUGUUACAUUUUACUUCCCCAUUUCUUUGGUGUUUGGUUGGUUUAUCUGCUUUCAUAGACUAUCAUUAAUCUUUCUUUUUGGUAGUCAAGGUCAACUUGGAAGAAUCUUUGAUUUUUUAUUUUGGAUUAUAAACAUUAAAAUCUUAUGUUUUAGUAAAAAAAAUAUAUUAAUAUUAUAAAAGUUUCAUUUUAUAUGAAAUAAUUUAAGAGAAACUUGAGAAUCUUGGAGUUUGGAGACAUCUUUUGUAAUUUAUUUUUGGACAAUAACUAAAAUGCAUGAAAUUUAAAAUAAAAUGUGAUAAAUACAAAAAUUUAACCUCUCUUUGAUUUAUGCUCUUAUCUUUUACUUAGGGCUAUUUUGGUUCUAAAAAUUUUGAAGGAAAAUAGAAAAAAAAUAGAGAGAAAAAUAACCAAAAAUAUAAAUUUCUAACUUUUAUUGUGAAACCAAACAUAAAAAAAAGAAGACUUCUUUUAGUAUUUUCUUUUUCUUUCCUUAAUAUUUUUGGAGAACCAAACAUAACAUAAAAGUUAGAAUCAAUCAUUAGGCCUUAACUUGAAUUCUUCAGUUUAUGCCACCACUUGAUUAGUUUUUCAUUGAUCCAUGUUGAUGUUAAACUUCAAGUGUUUACCUACCAUGGAUCUCUCUCUCACCAAUACGCACCUUAAUGUUUCACCAAAUCCUCAUUUGAUAACAAAUUUUAGAUCGCUUUCCCUUUCAAGUAAACCUUCAUUUUAAAGAAAUUUUAUAAACAAGAAACUUCUACAUGAAUGAAAUUUUUUCUUAGGAACCUUAAAGAGGUGUGAACUCUAAAUAACACCUAUGCUUCCCUUAAAGAAAGAUUUUACAUGCCUUUGUGACUGUUCAUGUUAACUGUUAUACUUGUGGGAUAUCUUCUACUAUCAAUUCUUCUUCUACAGCAAGAGAUUCUUCCUUCCAAUCUUCAAGAGACAUGCCAAAGACCAAUACUUGCCAUGCACACCCAUAGUCUAUACGAAUUGGCUAGCAAGAUACUAAAGUAGUCAAUCUUAACCUAACAUUACAUUAUGCAAUGAAUAAGAUAGAGAGAGCGGUAGAAUAUUAGAUUCCCUCAUAAUACCAUUGUUAUAACUAGACUGCAUGGUUUAAUUAAUACUUGAUAAAUUAUGAUGAUAUCCUAUAAUAAUGUUGUGCAUGCCUUCAAGAUAGUGGAUAUUUUAAACUAAAGAUCUAUAAUCAUUUGAGAUUUCAUUUUGGAUAUUUCAAAAAUCACUUUUUACAAUAAAAUCACUAUAUUUGAUAAAAUAAAUGGAAAGUGAUCCAAAAUAGAUAACCUAUAGCUUUUUGUAAGCAAUUUUCUAAGAAUUAGGUAGUUUUUUCUACAUUCAACCUAAAAGUCAAAACUCUUAAUAGACAAAUUGCCAUCUUUUUGUGGAACUUUUAGGCCUUAGCUUGAAUUCUUCUAAUAAUGCCACCACUUAAUUGGCUUUUCAUUGAUCAUUUUUUAUAUUACACAUAAUGUGUUUACCUAUCAUAGAUCUCUCUCUCACCAAUAUGCACCUAAAUAUCUCACCAAACCCUUCUUUGAUAACAAAUUUUAGGUCGCUUUCCAUUUCAAUUUAACCUUCAUUCUUAAGAAAAUUUUUAGACAAUAAUCAUCAGUUAAAUGAAAAAUUUUCCGAAGAUAGAACCCUAAAGAGGUGUGAAUUCAAAAUAACAUCUAUGUGUUCCUUCACUCAAUUUUAACCUAACGUUAAGUCAUGCAAUGAGUAGAGUAGAGAGACCAAUUGGAUCUUAUGGUCAUUUAAAAUCUUGGAUUCUUGUAGAAUAACAAAGUUUUGACUACCCUAUUAUGUAAUUAAUACUCGAUGAGUUAUGAUCAUAUCCUACGAUUAUGUUGUGAUGGCCUCCAAGACGGUCCAUAUUUUAAAUUAAAGGCCCAUAAUAAUUUCAUAUUUGAUUUUAGAUCUUUCGAAAUCACUUUUUAUAACACAACAAAAGUAUUUGUUCAACCUAAUAUUAUGUAUUUUAUUAGAAAAUUUCAAAUAAAGAAAUUAUCUAAAUCAAACAUGUAUUUUCCAAUUAAAUUGAAUUAUGCUAAUUAAAUGCUAAAAUUUAUUUAAAUUUUAUAAUUUUAAUACAUGUAACACUUUAACUAGAGAAAUUCAACUAAUGAAUUUGUUUAAACAAAAAAGGGUUUUCCAAUUAAAUAAACUUUGUUAAUUAAAUGCUACAAUUUAUUUAAAAUAAAAAUAAAAUAAAAUUAAAAUUUGCUAAUUAAAUACUACAAUGCAUUUAAAAUUCAUUAUUAUUUUUUAUUUUGUAGAGCUUUAAGUAAAAAAUUCAGUUAAUGGAAUUAUUUGGGCAUGUAAAAACGUCACCAUUUUCCUUUUUUUUUUUCUAAUUAAAUUGAAUUUUCCAAUUAAUUGCUACAAAGUCAAUUUCAAUUUUCACACAAGCUAAUUGACUAAUUCACUCAAUUAUUCCUUCAAAAAAACAUAACAAUCUCAACCUACAAAAUAAAGAAAUAAAAGAAAAAAAGAAAAAUCUCAUCCAAAUAAUAAAGCCCAAACCAUAGGCCCAAAUAUAUUUUGUUCCAAGAAUAAAUUUAGAUUGAGGUUAGCCCAACAUGGAUGUUCUACAAAUCGAGGCCCAAAUCUGUGAAUGCGUAAGCUCAAUUUCGUGAUUUUGAGUCAACUCAGUCACAAUAUUAAUUUCAACACCAUCAAAAUCCAACUCAAUUAGCCUAAAGAACCACAAAAGAGAUGAUUUUCUUUUGAAACUGGUGUGUUCAAUUCACAACCUUCAAUCGAUGUUGUAUUUUGAAACAUGACUUCAUUUGAAAACAAUGUUUUCAAACCAUGACUUCUAUUGAUUAAAUGGGCGAUGAACCAAUAAAAAGCACACAAGAACUAGCUUAUAUACAUAAAGGUUAUGUUUCUUUCUCAGAAAGUUUGAAAGAAAAUGUGAGAAAAAGAAAAUAGAGAGGAAAAAGAAAAAAAAAAAGAAAAAAGACAUAAGAAAUAUAUUUAAAAUUAAUUAAUUUUUUUUAUAUACUACUUCAAACUUUUUUUUCACUUAUUUAACUUUUCUAUAUAAAGGUUAAAUAACUUGAAAACAUACAAAAUUCUUAAUAAUUUUAAUUAUAUUUGAUUUUCUUGCGCAUUUUCCUUAACAAAUUCAAAUAUAAGAAAAUAAUUUUCUUUUAAUAUUUUUUUUCUAGUACUUUCAUUCCUUUUUGUAGAAAAUUUUGUAUAAAAUAUUUUCUUAGUUAGUAUAUUAUUGUAAUAUUAUAUUUCCUUAUAAAAUAAGAAAAGUUGUUAGAAAUAAUAUCUUUAUAAAUAUUCUAAACUAUGAAAAGAAAAAGUUAUAAAACGGAGAUGUGCUAAAAACUAUAUAAGGUGGAUAAUGGGAGACACCCAGUUGAGAGAAAGACUUGUGGUUUAAGGUGUACAUAGAUAACAAGGAGCGAGAUGUUUGGAAUCACGUUAAAACCUCGUGUACUUUUAUAUAAUUGUUUUAUUUUUGUGUUUUUAAUCUAGCAUUGUUUGCAUUAAAACUUUGGAAAACAUAAGACCCAACCAUACAUAGCUAGAAUAUUCUAGGUGUAUUGAUUUGAUAAGAUAUCUCCUACUUGUUUAAAUAUUAGUUUUGGCCAAUCUUCUCCUAUCUUCAUAUUUUGUGGAGUCGAAUAUGGAAAUGAUCUUUCUUUACAUUGGGAUUUCUCGAUAGGAAGAAAUUACACAUGCCUUUUUGUGUUUUUAAUAUUGUUUGCAUUAAAACUUUGGAAAACAUAAGACCCAACCAUACAUAGCUAGAAUAUUCUAGGUGUAUUGAUUUGAUAAGAUAUUUCCUACUUGUUUAAAUAUUAGUUUUGGCCAAUCUUCUCCUAUCUUCAUAUUUUGUGGAAUCGAAUAUGGAAAUGAUCUUUCUUUACAUUGGGAUUUCUCGAUAGGGAGAAAUUACACAUGCCUUUUUGUGUUUUUAAUCUAGCAUUGUUUGCAUUAAAACUUUGGAAAACAUAAGACCCAACCAUACAUAGCUAGAAUAUUCUAGGUGUAUUGAUUUGAUAAGAUAUUUCCUACUUGUUUAAAUAUUAGUUUUGGCCAAUCUUCUCCUAUCUUCAUAUUUUGUGGAAUCGAAUAUGGAAAUGAUCUUUCUUUACAUUGGGAUUUCUCGAUAGGGAGAAAUUACACAUGCCUUUUUGUGUUUUUAAUCUAGCAUUGUUUGCAUUAAAACUUUGGAAAACAUAAGACCCAACCAUACAUAGCUAGAAUAUUCUAGGUGUAUUGAUUUGAUAAGAUAUUUCCUACUUGUUUAAAUAUUAGUUUUGGCCGAUCUUCUCCUAUCUUCAUAUUUUGUAGAAUCGAAUAUGGAAAUGAUCUUUCUUUACAUUGGGAUUUCUCGAUAGGGAGAAAUUACACAUGCCUUUCUUUCUAAAGACCUUUAACAGCAAUAUGUAUAAGUUGUCAAUCAACAUGUCCGAGCUUACACCUUCUUCCACAAUUUCCAUCCAAAGAUACAAAGAAUAUAUAUAGUUUGAACUCUCGUUUGAGGAAGCAAAAAACUCCUGGCAUGAACCCAGAGCUAGCUACAGCACUGCCAUUGGAGUACUGGACCGAUCAAAGCUGCUAUGAACGGCUCUCGAUCGGUUCUUCUUCUUAGGCCAAUAUCCAAGUUGAUCAUGAGCCUCUCUAGCUCCUAACAUUCCAUUCCCAAAUGGAAUCGGAGCCGGUGCGGGAACUUGCGCGACGCCUUCUUUGGUGGCACCUACAUUACUCAAUAUCCUCACAAUUCCUAAGUAGUUUAAGGACUCAGCUAUCUGCAGUGCAGUUACGCCUUUGUUGGUGCGAGCUUCUACAUCUGCGCCCUUCUUUACUAACAAUUCGAUCACAUCAACGUGUCCAGACUCCACAGCGCAAUGCAGGCCUGUAUAUCCAUCUUCUUCUCUAGCAUCAAUGUCCACCCCCUUCUCUAUCAGUGCCUUGACAGCUUCCAUUCGACCCUUGAAUGCGGCUCGGUGCAGUGCUGUCCAUCCAUGCUGGUCCCGCCCGUUGAUUGCUGCUCCAUUCUCAAGCAGCUUGUGGAUUGUCCUCACUUCGCCUUUCCUAGCUGCGGCGCACAGGUUGUCCCCUAGGCUGAGGGCAUCGUAAAGGCGAGUGUGGCCGUACUCAGCUGCUACAUCGUAUGCCGUUUUCCCAGACCGGUUUCGGAUGUCUUUGUUUGCCCCCUUUUGCAGCAAGAGCUUCACCAUGUGCUCAUCGCCUAAGCCUGCAGCAAUGUGUAAGGGUGUGUCCCCGUUCUUGUUCCGAACAUCAGCCCUAGCACCGCUGGCCAGCAACAGUCUCGAGCAGUCCCGUCUUCGCUCCAUGGCUGAUAGGUGUAAGGCUGUGUUGCCGUCCUUUGUGAUGGCGUCAGCGUCAGCCCCCUUGAGUAAAAGAAGCCUCAAAACCUCCAUGUGACCUCCUCUCGCAGCCAGGUGAAUUGGGCCCAAGGUAGAAGAUUGGGAGCGCUCUGUGCUGGCUCGAUGAGCCAACAGGAGCUCCACGAUCAACGCUUCUCCAGACGCCGCCGCCGCCUCCAGUGGCGUGGACCCUGACCGGCUCUGAGCCUCCACAUCAGGCUCGAACUCAAGGAGCAAUUGAACCAGGUCGGCUCUACCUUGAGUAAUAGCCAGGUGAAGUAAUGUUUGGCCAUGCGAGUCAACUGAGUUUGCUCCAUUCCACGCCGAGUCACUCCUCUCGAGCACCUCCCUAACUUCAUCCAUGGAUCCAUCUACAACAAGCUGGGCCAAGAUUGGCGAUCCAACAAACAUGAUUCUGAUGCCGCUGUCGAUGAACACUUGCUUCUUCUUUGUGGUGAACCAGUCAUUAGGAACAGAUUCAACAGCUGCGCCAGGGACGACACAGCUGUGUAGAAGGAAGGAAUCAUCACAGUGAGGAAACGAAUUGGGAAGCAAAGAUCCCGGAGGGAGAUGAUAAGAUAUCUCUACAGUGAGGGUGGCGAGAGGCGCUAUGAUUGCCAUCUGGGGCUUCACUGUGUACCGCAUCUUGUUCAUUGGUUGAAGCCGGAAGGCUACAGGCAUGGUGUACAUAACAUUCCGCAAGAUGAGCUCCCCGUAACACUUCUGGCCAGGUUCAAUCCUGAUUGCAACAAGGUUUGAGGGCUCUAAGCUUAUGAGCCUGUCCAUCUUUACCUCUCCUAUACAAAGAUGUAUGUAACCUUCCAAUUCUCCUUCACUGAGUAUUUCCUUCUUUCUUGAGACUAAACCUUGAUGGGUUUUAAAAGAAAGGCAAAACCCAUGAAGAGAAACCGAGAUUAAACAUGAGAGAUGAAGAAGAUGGAGGUAUUUGAAGGAUGGAAAACAAGGCCGGCACUGCUGAGAGAGUGCCACAUGGUGGGUGUUAAAACCAAAGCUGACUUGUUCUAUUCGGCCUGACAACUGUAUAGUUCCUAAGACACAGUUGUACAAGUCAAAAAACUAAGCAACACUUGCAUAAUUUUUUUCUGCAGAAGUCAUUUUCAGUCUUCAUAUUAAAUCAUAGACACAAACACAAGAAAGAGAGAAAGAAAGCAACUGUCAUAUAUUAAUGUAUUUGUGUAUUAUGCAGCAAAGUAUCAUUUAUUUUUUAUUUUUUUUAAGUAACAAAGUACUGCCAUAGGAGAAUAUCAUAUUCUAGCUUGUGGAAAGUCCAAAGGAAUAAUAUGAUUUUGAUGAUUUCAAAAACAUCUCAGUGUGAAAUGAGGGCUAUAUGAUGGAGUGGUGUUGUUUACUUGGCCAACUAUAGGGACAAAUUGACAAUAAUGCUAUAACAUUAGUGAUCUUGUUGAUUGGGUCAUCUUCCUUUUAUUUAUUUCCUUUAGGGGAGUGUUCCAUUUGGGCGUUUGGCUAUACACAACUCAACCAAACAACAGAAACUUGUCUCUUUGCUCUAUUGGAUCGUGUGUUAUAUGUGUGGAAUAUUCAUUUGUUUGGUGGACUCUAGGCUUGCUUUGCCUUGGUCAAUUAAUAUUUUUCCUCUAGACAUAGCUAGCGUUGGACCUGCAAAAUUUUUUAUGACCUAUUCUUUGAUUGUAAUGCACCAUAAAGGCCAAUAAUAGAAACACCCAAUUCAUCACAUACCAAUCAUAUUAUAUUGCAUCAUUCUCUGCGGGUUAAUCAAGCCAUUAGAGCUGGGAUAUUUUAUUUUCGAAUUUGAUGGGUGCUUAGAUGUCUAUUAAUUUACUAUUUCUUGGUAUUAAAGUUAAUAGGUGCUUAGAUGUCCAUUAAUUUACCAUUUCUUGGUGUUAAAGUAAGAAGAAAAUUAAGUGUUUUCUGUAAUAUUGGUAUUGGUGCAGUUUAGGGUCUAUUUGGAAAACAGAUAUUUGAUUUCUCAAAUAAAAUUUUAUUUUUUAAAAUCUGUUUUUUGAGAAAUAUUUUAAAAAAAACAUUACUUAGUACUAAGACUUAUUCAAUAGUUUUUUUUAUUGAUUAAUAUCCAAAGGUUGGAAGAGAUAGUGGAUGAAACUUAAUGGGUAUUAGGCAAAUCAACGUAAUAAUUUAAAAUGAUUUAAUAACUUAAUUUAAGUUAUUAAGUAAAUUAAAUAUAUUUGAUAAAAUAAUUUAAUGGUAUAACUUAAAAUAAAAAAUAACUUUGAGUAAUAAAUAAAAAUAAUUAACUUAUUAUUAAUUUCAUAUUUUUAUUUUAGUUUUUUUAUCUAUGUUUGCCCUAAUUACUUCUAUAAUUUCUUUUGUUACUUCAUAACUUCCAUUGUUAUUCAACUUCUUUUACCAUAAUUAUAAUUUAUGAGAAUAAAUAUUUCAAUUUGAUGAUUUAAAAUAAAUUUUAUCAAAUAAGUUUAAUACUUAUAAUAAAAAUUAAAUAAUAAGUUUUAAAUCAAUAAUUUAAAUAUAAUUUAUUUUAAAGUCAACUUAAAUUAUUAAGUAAUUAGUACUAAAUUUUACCAAACACUUCUAAAAAUAUGCUUUUUAUCACUAAGUAUGUUCAUUUAUUUAUUUUUUGAUUUGGUGGUUUAAUAUGCUUAAAUGUUUUAAAAUGAUUUGUUUUUUAAAUUAAGUUUUAUUUUCAACUAUUUUAAUUUUAAUUUUAAAUUUGAGGUUUGAAUGGUACUUUAACAUCUAUUUCUAUUUCGAUUUUGGACUAAAAAACAAAUGCCAGCUAAAUAGAGAGAAGAUUAAGGAAGAAGGAUAGGAUGAAACUAGGAAUAUCCCUUUAUGAAAAUGCAAAAUAUGUUGUAUUAAAAGUUAGUUUAUACUAAUUGAAAUGUUGCAAAAACUCAAUGUUAACUAAUUAAUAAAACUAUGUCUAACCAUAAAGUAAUUUGGGUUUUUAUAGGAGUUUCAUUGUUAGGAGGAAAAUUAUGUUUAAAAAUAAAAAUACUUGGAAGUGUAUAUUAAAAAGGGAUAUUCCAAAAUUCCUACUUAUUGGAUUGUAAAACUUGAAUUAAUUUUAUUAUGUUUCACUUAGAAUGUCGGAGGUUGAACUUCUUGUUGAGCUCACAGGAUCGAGUUGCCUAGUUAGUUUAUGACGAUUGAAGGGGGUAGCGCCUCUUGGAAAUUUUUUUUUUAUAUAAUGAAUAACAAGUUUAUCCUUCUUAUAUAUUUAACCAUCUUAUAUUUUAAGGUUUUCAUUUUUUUUUUUGGAGAGCGUUGUUGUAAUUAAGAGUAGUUUUUUAGAGUUUUAUCAUUAUACUCCUUUUCAUUCCUUUUUAUCAAUGGAUUCUUGAGUAUCCGUGCACUCUAUGGACAUAGGAAUCACAUUGAUUGUUGAACCAUAUUAAUUUUUUUUUUCUACUCGUAUGCUUGUGUGAUUGGAUUAAUACUGUUGAUAUAUUUUUCUUAUUUUCUUUUUUCAAGUUUCCAAAAGGCAUAUAUAAUAACCACAUGUUAGAAUUUAGAAUUACUUUUUAUUUAUAAUUGCACUUCAUAGGUGAAACUAAAAAAUAAAAAUAAACUGAGAAUAGAUGUGAAUCACAAUACAAUGUAGAAGAGAAAAUAAAAUUUUAAUUGGAAUAAAAUUUGAUUUUCAUAUUAAUGAAUUUUUACUAGUAUUCUUAUCCUAAAUAAAAAUCCAAAUAUAUUAUUAAAUAAGAAUGAAACAUGACUUAUACGUAGUUGCACUCCAAGUUUAUAUUGCAGAAUUGCAAUGCAUGGAGUUGAGAUGCCUCACAUAUAUGACCAUAUUCCCAACUUGAAGACUGCAGUAAACUGCUAAAUAAGAAGAUUUCAAAUGAAAUAAAUAUGAAAAAUAUUUGCAUUUGUUCAGAUCAUAUGGCAUGGGAUUGGGACAAAGGUAUUUGGGAAGCUUUUGUUAGUGCCUGAUAAAGGCUACUGUAAAAGCCAAAUGGGGAGCUUAGAGUGACAAAUAAUAAUAAUAAACAAUUUCAUAGACUGUUAAUUCUUAAGAGGGGUUUUGUUACCUAGUGAUUUCUCUUAUGCCUUCUUAUGAUUUCAUUAAUUAAUUUUUUUAUUUUACAAGAAACCCAUUUAAAUAUUUUUCUUUUUGUAGUGAUAUGGUGUAUUCAAUUGAUGCAUAAAGACAUAUAAUAGGCUAAAACUACCUCAUGUUGUCUGUUACUAAGCAUCAUUGUUACAAUAAGAUCAUGGGGUGGUUCCAUAUCCCCAACCCUGUCUUUAUCAUAGAAGCUUUUUGGCCAAUCAUACAUGUAAGAAUGUGAAAAUGAGAAGUGUGUUUAUUUUGAAAAAUGGACUCAUAAAAUAUGGUUGAUAGCAACUGUUCUAAAGACAUUUUUUGCAAACAAAUAUUUUAAAAAUAUAUAUUUUUUGGGUAUUUAAAAAAAUAAAAGCACUUUUAAGUCUUGUUUGGACAGCAUAUUUAACUUCUUGAUUUAGUAAUACAAGAAAUAGGAGAAGUUACUAUUAUAGCAGGUUUGAAUUUUAUGUUUAGAAACUAUAUUUUAGAAAUAUUUUUUAUUAAAUAAGAAUAAUUAUGAUAUUUUUAAAAAGUUUUAAUUAAUUUUUUUUUCUUAUUGAUCUUCCUAUCUCUCCAAAAUAUGGAUAAAUCAUAUUGAGACAUACUUUUAAAUUUAUGUUUGACCUACAAACAUUGUAUUUUAACAUUUGCGAAAUUUAUUUGAAUAAGACUUUAAUAUAUUAAGCCUUUUCAUAAAUUCAUUAUUUUCAAUAAAUAUAAAAGAAUUGAUUCAAAUAUUGUCUUAAAACAUUAUUUCUAUUCUCAGUCCCAAAUAGAAUUUUAUCACAAGCUUUAGGCUAUGUUUGGAUCUUGAAAAGUUCAAAGAAAAAUGCGAGAGAAAGAAAAUGGAGAGGAAAAGUAGAAGAAAAAAAAAUUUUAAAUCAAUAAAUUAUUUUUAUAUAUUAUUUUAAACUUUUUCCACUUAUGUAACUCUUCUAUAUAAAUAUUAAAUUAUUUAAAAAUAUAGAAAUUUCUUAUUAAUUUUAAUUGUAUUUGAUUUUGUUUUUCUUUUCUAGUGUUUUUCGCGAACCAAACAUAGUGUUCAUUUAUUAAAAAAAUAAGAUUUGUCUUCUUGCACACCAAGAACCAUGCUCUUAAAUACAUAUGGUGCAUUGCCAUAUAAACUUCAAAAUUAUUUAUUUAUUUGUUUUAUAGCAAAAAAAAUAAUGUUCAAAUAAAUGUAAGCCAAUCUUCAACUAAAAUUUUAAGAAAAGAAUUGUCUUAAUCACUAUGGAUUCAUGCAAUGAAGCCGAAGGCUUACCAAGUCUAAGAUAUUCAAUUUCUUGAAUAUUUAAAUUGCACUUGGCAUGGAGUCUUCCUCCUAACUUUCUCUAAGUAUGCCUUUUCCAUCACUAAAUAUUAAAUAACAUCACUAGAUUGAUUGCCACUAGAAGCAGCUAUGAGUAUUGAACUAUAGGCCUUCAUAGAUUGAUUGAACCAUUGAUUCAAUCAUUAUGGUUAAACAUUGAAUCUUAAAUCAUAUAGUGAUUUAACAUAAUCCUGACCUACAUCCCCUCUCCUCUAACUUCUAUCCAAAGUUUGAGGUUCCACUAUACCAAGGUUUCCAAACCAAGUAUUAAGACAUUACACUUAUGUUAAUUGGCUCAAAUGGACACUUUAUAAUCUUCCUCAAGAGAUGCCUUUAUAAGGAAUCUCGGAUCUCUCCAUUUCCUAUCCCAAGAGUGUUUGGAAUGGUGCAGACUAAAACUCUCAUUUCUCUCUAAAUAAUGGAAAAGACGAUUGAAAGAAUUAGAAACCCUAAUCUCUAAGGGGGUAUUAAUAGGGUUCCUUAUUGGGCUUUAGUGACUUGAAUGCAUUAAGGGUUUUGAUCACUUAAUCUAGCUUAAAAAGGUCCUUAUUGAUUAAUUACCCUAACAUGAUUGUUUAAUUAAUCAAUUUGCUCAAUUUAGAGAUUUUGUUCACUAACACAUGUACAAUCUUACAAAGUUACCAAAAUACCCUUACAAACCAUGUCAUUAAGGUAUAUGAGCUUGAGUGAGGACCAUUAGGACCCAUAGGAUAGUACUAGUUCCCAUCAUAAUCCAAUUCUAAGGUUGAUUCAACAUCCUACUACAGAUAAUAAUGAGACAAAGUUUCGUUUCAUAACCUACUAUUCACUGCAUGGAGAUUUCCCAUGAAUUGGUGUUUGUAAUCUAACAAGGUAGUGCUAUCACCUAUUAAGAUUACCUUUCCAAUCCUUGAGUUAUAGAUCCACUUAUUGUGUGAUCAAUUGACAUAAUCUAACUCUAAGGAGCAUAUGUCAAAUUUCCACUAAAGAAAAUGUUAUGACCAGUCUUUUAGAUCACAUGUUCUUUGGAUCACCCAAAGAAAUACACUGUCUUAAUCCUAUGAGAUAUCGUGGUGCUUCUAUUAAGAAUACUUGUUACCACCAAUCUCCAGCAAUAGUGACCCAAUCCACAGGGAUAUGUGACCACGUCGAGGUGUUACUCAUAUAUGAAAGCCACCUAUUGAUUUUGGCAUAGGUUCAAUAUCAUUUUUAGGUUGAGAGUUCAUACAAUAUAGUAGUUUGGUGAAUUAUGACAAUCGAUAGCCUUACAUCAUGAUUCACCGUAGGUUUUAUUCAAUGUGUAAUCAUACAUACUAGUGCACUCACAAUGAGAAACUUAUCCAAACAGUCAAGACAAGUCAUUUCUCCAAUUAAGAGGUAGUGCAUUGCAAUCUUUACUAGAUUGCCUAAAUCCAUGAAUUGAUUGUGAACACUUUAUCAUCUUUCAAAGAAUCCAUGAUUUGUAUCAUCUAUGCAACUCUUAAUGUACUCAAGUCAUGUACAAUACAAGUGAUAAAAACAUGCAUACUUAGAUAACCAAUUAAUGUACAUGGUAUAGUAAAAUGAACAAGAAGCAAAAAUAAAUAAAUAAAUUUAUUAAUGUAUCUAAAAAUUGUUACAUCAUGUCAUGCUUUCUAGGGUUCUAUUCCAAUAGUGUUGCUUUUGAACCCCCAAGUGAUACCUCCACAUUUGUCUAAGUAAUACCCCAUACUUAAAUUUUUCCUUCUAGUGAUAUCUCAUACUUGAACCCACCUCACAAGGUUUACAAGAAUUGAAAUUCUCAAUACAAAUUCUUAGUUUAUAAAUCUUUUAGAAUAAAAUGAACUAGGAUUGAAAUGUACAAUAAGAACAUAAUGCAAGUUUAAGCUUAAUACACUCAAAAAUAUUUUUCAUAAGGCUUAAGAGAUGAUUAAAUAAUAGUUUGAAACUCUUCUCUAUUUUAUAAAUGAAGUAUAGAGUCUAUAUAUAGAGUUAAAAGGUGAAAGUAAGCGUUAGAAAUAAGUCUCCCAGGAGUAGACGUCUACAUGAUCUUCCUCAUAUUAGCCGUUAGAGCAUUUAAUGAGGUGCAAAGAAUCAUUGGAGGCUAAAAAGUAGAUAUAGACGUCCAAGUAGCCGUUUGCAUUGCCAAGUGGUCAUCCAAGUGGACUUCCAAAUGGGUUCCAUCUUAGGAACUUUGAAUUACUUCAUUCCUUGACCUUGGAUCUCGUAGAGUACAUGCAUUCCAUCCUAGCCUUUUCUAGAUCUAAUGUAACAAAAAAAUAUGAUAUCAAAAACCAAAAUAGAUAUUAGAAGAAUCAUUCUCAAAUCAAAUCCAAUAUGAAGAAGAUGUCAUGGGCAUCAUAGAACUCGUCUACCUAAGGGUUUUUCACUUGAUUCCUCCCUCCAUGGAUCUUGGCACAAGAGAAUGAUGGGUUUCACUUCCUCUCUUGAGGGUAACUAGGGUUUUUUUCAAUCUCUAUCUAAAAGAUGAUGGUGAAAAUGACAAAAAGCCUUAACCCUUAAUCCUUAAACCUUAAGGGGGUUUAUAUAGGGUUCCUUAUGGGCUUAAGUGACUUGAGCCCAAAUUGGGAUAUUGUCACCUAAUCUAGCCAACUUGGGUCUUAAUUAAUUAAUUAGCUCUAAUGAGCUCUAAUUACUUAAUUAGAUCAAACUACCAGUUUAAAAAAACCUUCAUAAGAUCUAGUGCAACCUUGCAUUUUUACCAAAAUGCUUUUAUGCAUACUUAUGAACUACAAACCAAAAUCCUUCAAAUAACAUGUACCACCAUGAGCUAAAAGCUCCAACGAGGACUAUUAGGACUCAUAAAAAAAUACAAAAAUACUGACUCCCUCAUAAUCCAAUUCUAAAGUUGAUUCAACACUUCAUUAAAGAAAGUCAACUACACUAAUAUAAGAAAAUAUCGACUUCUUCAUUAUAUAUCUUAAUAGUUUUGUGAAAUUAUUAUAUGUUGACGACGUACACUUUUAUUAUUGGUUAAGAUGAUAAUUGAUUUGCAAUGUUUUUGACAUGAAGGAUCUAGGAGGUGCUAGACAAAUCUUAGGGAUGUAAAUCACAAGAAGUUAUGAUUAUCUCAAGAAUAAUAUAUUGAAACACAUGACUUGAAUUUCAAGAAGUUAUGAUUAUCUCAAGAAUAAUAAAUUGAAACACAUGACUUGAAUUUCAAGAAGUAUUGAAAGAUUCUUUUAGAGGAAUGGUAUGAAAGAAGCUAAGCAAGUUAGGUCCCCUCUUGGUGGUCACUUCAAGAUUUUCCUAACUUCAAUGAAGAGAAAAAGAAAGAAAGUAUUCCUUACUCCUUAAUUAUAGGGAGUUUGAUGUAUGUUAUGGUAUCUACAAGCCCAAAUAUAAUUCAUGCAAUUAGAGUUGUAAGUAGGUUCUUAUCUAAUCCAGGAAAAGGGCAUUGAGAGACAAUAAAAUGGAUCUUCAAGUGCUUGAUAGGUAGCUCAAGCAUGUGCUAUGUUUUGAAAGAGCUUGAUCGUCUAAAAGGGUUUACAAAUGUAUAUGGUUGAUGACAUUAAUAGUAGAAAAUCUACACGUGGCUAUUUGAUCAUUUUUGUAGGAGUCAUGUCAUGUCAGGCUAAAUUACAACCACUAAAAUAAUAAAGGAGAUGUUGCGGUCAAAGGUUCCCCCCCCCCCCCCCCCCCAAAAAGAAUUGAGUUUCCCCCCCCAAAGAAUUGAGUUUAGAAGAGAGGCAGGGUGCUAUGGGUCCAAGCAAUAGCACCAUGUAUCAUACCACCUUACAAUGCUCACCCUUAUUUCCAAAAUUUGAUAUUUGCAUAAGGAACUCGAAAAGAAAGCUCGGAACAAGCACCCAAAUAUUUGAGAAGUGCAUUAGUGAAAAAUAUAUGUAUUUAAUGCCUUGUUAGCAUCCAAAGAAUCCUUUGGGAACAUUUUAUAUUAUUAUUAAGUUUUAAAAACAAAUGUUUUUAUUUCUAGAAAAAUGUUAAUUUGGCAAUUGGAUUGUUUAUCAAGUUAUGGACUUCCAAAUUUGGGCUCAAAGAAUAAAGGCAAAAUUAUUGAAUGAGAUAGACAAUUAUCAAUUCCACCAUACCCAAUAAGGAAAUGCAAAAACAUCUUUCUUACUUCUUUUUUUCCAAAAAAAAAAAAAUCAAAAUAUAUUUAUUUUUUUAAUAUCAUUUAAUUAGAAUAUCAAAGUGUAACAAGCUUAACUAUUUUAUAUCAUAGAUUCAUAUGGUAGACACAAAAAAGUAUAAAACAUCUCAUUGUUAUUAUCAUCAUACAAUAUUAUUUUAUUUUUACAGUAGGCCUCACAUUCACCAAGAACACCACACCAGUGCCAAAAGCAAAUGACCCACCACCUAUGAGAUUUUUUUUUUUCUUCCUCCUCCUGUUUCUUCUUCCUCCUUUUUCUCUUUCCUUGCUUUCCCCAGCUAGUACGUAUUUUCACCUGCAAGAUAAAAACAAACAAUAUCAUGCCUUUGAUAGUAAAAAAGAUGACCAAUCUACCAUAUAACAAGAAGGAAAAAGAAAAAAAAACAUAGAAAAAUCAUCAGAAAAAAGAAAAUCUUCAAAUUGGAAACUACUUUUUCCCAUGGCAUUUGAAGAUGAUGAUGACAGAUCGAUCAUUCUGCAAUAUUAAAAGAUCCUUCUUCUGCUAAUAAUGAUCUACAGUUGUUCAAUCUCAAGAAAAACACAGAUCCAACAGGUUUCUGAUGGAGAAAUUCAUAUGAAAAAUGAGAGCAAUAUGAUAAUAAGGAAAUCUAGCAGACUGCAUACCAUAGGUGGGAAGAAGAAGGGAGGAGGUAGGGGGUGGUCUAGUCGCUGUCGCUGCUGCUGCUGCUAUGGCCAUCAUGUUCAUGGCCAUGCUCGUGCUUCUUCUUCUCCUUCUUCUUCUUCUUCUCCCCAACAGGCCCGUGUUCAUGUCCAUGUCCUUGGAUCUUCUCCAUUAUCCCUCCCUUGUGUUCACCUUGCCCAUAACCCUCUCCCUUGUGUUCACCAUGCCCAUACCCCUGACCCUCUCCUUUGUAUUCACUAUGCCCAUACCCCUGACCCUCUCCUUUGUAUCCACCAUGCCCUUGCCCCUCUCCCUUGUAUCCACCAUGCCCUUGCCCCUCUCCCUUGCGCUUCUCCUCCUCCUCCUUGCGCCCUCCCCCCAUGUGAAG
This 53327-nucleotide long non-coding RNA is filed under the name Vitis vinifera (wine grape). Its description in RNAcentral is "long non-coding RNA (VVIN_LNC002366)". The record is from RNAcentral. Lineage: Eukaryota; Viridiplantae; Streptophyta; Magnoliopsida; Vitales; Vitaceae.